This 46328-nucleotide long non-coding RNA is filed under the name Citrus x clementina. RNAcentral's name for it is "Citrus clementina (C. clementina) long non-coding RNA (CCLE_LNC004249)". The record is from RNAcentral. Lineage: Eukaryota; Viridiplantae; Streptophyta; Magnoliopsida; Sapindales; Rutaceae.
UUCUCCCAGUUCCAAAUGGCAGCAAUCGGUAAUGCAAUCCCCUAACAUCAAUCUCACUAUUUGACUCUGAUAAGAAUCGUUCUGGCUGAAAUUCCAAUGGGUUCUUCCAAGUUUCGGGGUCCCUACCCAUGGACCAAAGGUUCACAAACAACAGAGUUCCUUUAGGAAUUAUGUAGUUGCCAAUUUUACAGUCUUCUAGUGCUCUUCUGUUAAGCAAUGGAAUUGGUGGAUGAAUCCGAAAUGAUUCUUUAAUGAUGACUUGAAUAUAGGGGAGAUGAGGAACGUCAGAUUCUUGAACAAGCCUGUUUCUUCCCACAACUUGAUCAAUCUCUUGCUGUGCCUUCUGAAGCACCAUUGGAUGGUUUAUGAGCUCUGCCAAUGCCCAUUCCACUGUCAUGGAUGAAGUGUCUGUGCCAGCUGUGAGGAAAUCCUGGACAGAUAGCAACAAAGAUGUUACAUGUUAGGUAAAAAAAUUCUAAAAAAAAUAUGGGUUGCUUCCCAUUAAUCAAAAGCAACAAGACAUCUGUUAGUACAAGGAGAUUCAUUGUUAUAAAGAUAAGAUUUAUUUAUUUAUUAUUUAUUUUUUUGUUAGAGUUUUUAACUUGAUGCUUUUGUUAAAGAUUUGAUUUAUGGUCCAUUUGGUACUAUUAUUGAGAAGUUGUAACUUAAAAAUCAUGGAAAACACUUAUAGUUGUGAAUUUUUGUUAAGGCGAUUUUAUCCACUAAUUAUUUGAUAAAAAAAAAGAAACUUAAAAUAUUUACUAGUUUUGUCAUAAAUAUAUUUAAAAUUAUAUUUAUGUCAAAUUUUAUUUCACAACUAUAAUUUCUUUUUGACACCUCAGUAUUAAACAAACCUUUGAUUUAGAUAUGAGACCUCUAAUAGGCUUAGAUCAUAUUCACACUUAAGAUGUGGUAGCUACUAAAUAGGUCCAUAGGAAUGGGAGCACCAAAAUGUAAAUAAUUACUCAAAUUAUUUUAAAAGUAUUACACCAUUUCACCGUCAAUUGCAUUAAUGACACAUUAAUAAUUAAUGCAUUUAUGCCACACCGAUGAAGACAGAGUACAAUUGACAACAUAUAUUAGUUAAAUAUAAAUGACCAUUUUUAAAGAUGAUGUUAAAAGAGACAAAUAUAGGUAAUUUGCAUUGAUUAAGAAGCAUCUUUUGGGAGACGUCUUUGUAAAAUUAAAUAUAGGUAAUAUGAAUCCAGUAGCUUUUGAACCGCAAAAAAUAGAAAAAGAAACCAAAGUACAAAAAUGGUAUAUUCCUAAACAAAUGAACAGACCUCAUUUAUCAAAUAAUAAUAAUAAAUAAUAGUCUUGCUAACUUACAUCUACUAUAAUUUACAUCAACUUAAAAUUAAUUUUUUUUUAAUAUCACUCAAUUGUUACUUGUCAAACAAUUAAAAACUUACGGAAAAUUAAUUUUGAGUAAGUUGUAAGAUAAAAACAAUGUAACUUAGCAGCCGUAACAAAAACAUUAAUAACACUAAAUAAAUAAAUAAAGCAAGUGAAACAUGACUUACCAAAAAUAGGGCUUUGAUGUGAUCUCUAGUUAACUUGAUCUCCGAAUUCUGAUUCUCCAGAACAUCGAGCAAAAUAUCAAGCAAAUCCUUCACUUUCUCUUCACUUUCCUUCUUCUCCUUCCUUAAUUUUUCACGAUUUGUUAUGAUAUUCUCCAGCAACGAAUCGAACCGUCGAUGAAUAUCCUUGAAUCGCCUGCGAAAACCCUGAAUAUCAAAGCUUUUGAAAACCCAAAUAACGUCAGAGAUAUUAAACUCGCCAAAAAUUUCAGUCACUUCACGAGCCAGGGUUCUACACUCUUCAGCCUGGCCCCCCUUUCCUGAACAUCUAAUGCUCAACAUCAUUUGAGAUAUUAUAUUGUUUGUAAAUUUCAACAAUUCAUCUGUAAUAUUAACACUUCCGCCAGAUUUAGACUUCUCAAAUAGAAACCGAAUAAGCUCGUGCAACUCAUUUGUUCGAAUAGGAAGAAACUGGAGAAGGGUUCUGCUGCCCAAGAGCUCAACUGUGGUCAGCUUUUUCAUGAAUUGCCAAUAUGGGCCGUUGGGAGCAAAAGCAAAAGAAGAGUUAUAUGUAAGGCAUUCAAUGGCGGCAGAGCUGUUCCGGGCGGCAAAAGUAACAUCAUUUGUUUUGAGAAGCUCUUUGGUUACAUCAGGAGAAGAAGUUACAACACCUAGGACAGAGCCUAUGCGUAUGGACAUCAAGGGGCCAUAGCGAGUUGAAAGCUUGUGAAAAGAAUGGUGAAGGGAAGGGCCGAGGAGAUGGAGGUGCCCGACGAUCGGCAAGGCCCACGGGCUCGGUGGCAGUCGCCGUGAGUGUUUGAUGGCUUUCAGCACGAGGGCGGACAAGAUGAAGAGGGAAGCAUAAAAAAUCAGUGGUUGAAGUGUCAUGGCUAGAAAAGAUCUCUAGGCUUCUUGGUCACUGCCAUUGAGAUGAGUGGACAACAUGCAUUUAUAGAUGCUUCAAUCAUGGGAAAUUUCAGCAACAUGCCUAAUAUUGUUUUCAAUGUAAUUAUACCUUUUGAAAAUAAUGCAAAAAAUAACAAUAAAUUAUGACUCAUGAGACCCCAUGUGUUUUACUUUUACUCUUUAAGUUACGUAAGUAGUGACUAGUUAUAGAAGCAGUGACUUAGCAAAUGUGGGCACAUUGGCAGCCCAUGCAUUAGUUAGGCCGGCAACUUCUGCCCAUGAACUUUCAAGUCUUUGCAAAACAAAACAUAAAUUGAGUAAAUAGAAUAUAAAAUUAGUAAAUAUAAGAUAAAAUAAGUAAAUGAACAUAUGAAUAUUAAAUUGGUAUAUUACCAGUAAACAAAAAAAUUUUGUAGAUGUAAUAUAAAACUUGUAAAUCAAUAUAUAUAAAGUAUAAAAAUAAAACAUAAAUUGUGGAAAUAGAAUAUAAGACUUAUAAAUAGAAUGUAAAAUAAGUAAAUCAACAUAAGAAUGGUAAAUUGAUGUAUUAUUGGUAAACAAAACAAAAACUUAUAAGUAUAAUAUAAAAUUUGUAAAUCAACAUUAAGUGUAAAAUAAAACGUAAAUGAUGUAAAUAGAAUAUAAGACUUAUAAAUGAAAGUUAAAUUAAGUAAAUUAAUAUAUGAGUAGUAAAUUAAUUUAUCAUUGGUAAAUAAAACAAAAACUUUUCAAUAGAACAUAAAAUUUGUAAAUUAACAUUAAGUGUAAGAUAAAACAUAAAUUAAAUAAGUAAAAGAUAAGACUUGUAAAUAGAAUAUAAAACAAGUAAAUUAAUAUAUGAGUGGUAAAAUGAUGUAUUAUUGGUAAAUAAAACAUAAACCUACCGAUGUAACAUGAAACUUAUAAAUCAACAUCAAGAGUAAAUUAAAAACAUAAAUUAAGUAAAUAAAACAUAAGAUUUGUGAAUAGAAAGUAAAACAAGUAAAUUAAUUUAGAAGUGGUAAAAUAAUGUAUUAUUGGUAAACAAAACAUAAACUUACAGAUAUAUCAUAAAACUUAUAAAUCAACAUUAAGUGUAAAAUAACAUAUAAAUUAUGUAAAUGAAAUAGAAGACUUGUAAAUGAAAUGUUAAAAAUGUAAAUAUUAUAAGAGUUAUUGAAACAAGUAAAAACUUACAAAUGUAAAAUAAAAACUCAUUAUAAUAAUCACCUUAUAUAUUUACUGUUUUUAUUUCUACUUUUGAAUAAUGAUAAUUUUAGGUUUAUGUAAUACAUUUGAUGAUAUAUGUGAAAUUAACUUGUUCUCAAAAUCAAAAUUUGAAAUUUUUUCAUAUUUGUAAGAUAUGUGAUUUACAUUCUUCUAAACCUUCUCAACAACAUCCGCAAAUGAUCUUUUAGUAUAAGUAAGAAGCAAAGUUUAAAAGUACAUGAAAUACGUAUAAAACUAGAAAUUAAAUCCAAAUUUACUGAUAUUUGAUAUGUGUCUAGUAAUAUAAGAAUGUCUUUUUAUUUUGUUUUGUCUUGAUUCACAUCAAGAAAAAUAAUUUUACUUAAUUAACUUGUAUAGUAAACAAAUAACAUGAUAGAAAAAAAAAUUUAUAUAUAUCCUAGCAUGAAUAUAGAAUUUAUGGUUAAACCAAUUUAAUGAAUCUUAUUCUAAAUGUUUUCAAUAUAAUUUUUUGUUUUCAAUUGAUGAUUAAUUUUUUUCCUUGCUUAAAUAAAUAAACUAUUAUUAAAUUAAAUUAAAUUUUAAUGUCGGUUUUACAAAUUUUAUGUUAUUUUUAUCAAUAUUUAUUUUGUUUGCAAUUUUAAAGCACCAUUAUACCGCUGUUAUAUUUUCAAUUAUUGCAACUCAAUUAUUUCAUGGUCAUCAGGGAGCUUGCUACGGUACAUUGUCUGUUACGUACACAGCCAAUGGUGGAAGGACCCACGUGCACAGGAGAGAGAAAUUGCUUUACCAAAUGCACCCUUUGUGGAGCUGGCUAAGGUGCAGCUCUCAAGUACAGCGUCUGCAACGUAGCCUUAUCCAGUCAUCAGUUAUUGCUAGGGGUGGGCAAAAAAAUCGUAGUGUUAAAAAAACCGAACCGAACUGACGGUUUUUUCUAAUUCGGUUCGGUUUUUAUUUUUUAAAAAAACCGAAUAUACCGUUUGUAAAAAAAACCGAAAUGUCGGUUCGGUAUUCGGUUCACUUAGCCGAACCGAAAAACCGAAUUAUUUUUUGAUUUUAUUUAAAUCAAACAUGUGUUAAUAAUUUUAUUCAAAUCAAACAUGUGUUAUUUCUCUUUAUAACAUUAUGAUUAUGUUUAUAUAGAUGGAGUAUUGGAGUUUGGUUAUGUAUUUUGAAAUUUUAAUAUUUCAUAUUUUGGGAGUAUCUUAUUAAUAGUUAGUAAGAUAUUAGUGAUAAAAUGUGUUUUGAAUACUUUGUAUUUAUUGUUAAUAUUUGUAAUAAAAUUAGGAUAAAUUAAUUGUUGAAAAAAAUUAUUACAUUCAUGAGGUCCAAUGGGCUAAAAAAUUAAAAAUUCAAAAUAGGCCCAAUAGGCUCAGAACCGAAAAAACCGAACCGAACCGAACCGAUCCGAAAAGAACCGUUUGAGUUCGGUUCUUAUUGAGUUCGGUUCUUAUUCGGUUCUUUUUAUAAAAUAACCGAUUUAAAUCGGUUCUACUUAAUUUUGAAUCGAACCGAACCAAACCGAACCGUGCCCACCCCUAGUUAUUGCGGUAGCUAACCUAAAAUUCGGAUCUGACUAGAUCUACAUUAUCUUCAGUCUUUUACCUGUUGGUCUCCUGUUUGACAUUUCGGCAGUUGGCACUCCAUUAAUUGCAAUUUCAUUUACUUGUAAGUGAAGCUAUUAUUUUUAAUUCUCUUUAUUUUCAUAUGGAGCAUGAGCUAAUGUCGUAUUAAGAAAAUAAAGAUUUAAAUGUGAUGAAUCAAAUUCCUAGGAUGCUUUGUUUCUACGUUUGUGGCAUCCUCAUAAAUUACUAUGAUGUGGGGGCUUGGUUUGGGAAAUCACGUAUUUCCGGCAAAAUUAGCAGAGUUUGCCUUGAGGUCAAGUAAUAGUAUUUGGGUUUGACCGAAUGGUUAAGUUAACAUAUUGUUAAGUUAGGUUUGACCAAAAAGAUACUGAAUUUGACUCCCUUAAAAGUGAAUACACGCAAAGCGAAUUUCGAGGCUCGUCUUUGAUCUGUAUAAACGCCAAAAAGAUGAGGUUUUCUUUUUUAAGUUACACUCCAAUUUAUUGAUAUCUACAAUAACAUAAAUUUACUCAUAAAUAAAUUCUGUUAUAUAAUUUCGAUGUUAAGAUUUAAAAUGAACUGUUCUAUUUUUAAAUAUUUAAAACAAUUAACUUCCAAAAUACUCACAAAAUGACUCAAACUUUUAAUCUUGAGAAUGAAAUGCGAAGUGCUUAAGGGCUAGUUUGGUAAUACUAUAAUUUUUAAAUAAUUGUUGUUAACUAUGUUGUAAAAAUAAUCAAUUGUGAACAAAAUAAGUUAAAUGUUUGGUAAAAUUUAUUUUUAAAAAUAUUAUGAGUUUUAAAAGCAAGAGUAUGUGAUUGGUAAAUCUUAUAUUUAAACUGUUGUAAGAAUAUAAAUGAUUGGAUUGGACAUAAUAUUGAAUAAAAUUUAGUUUACACAUUUAUAAACAUGUAUAUAUAAUAUUUUUUAUUGUGUAUAUAAUAAUUGAUAACUAAAAUAGACAUUAUAUAGUAUUAAUUUUAUUUUUUAUCUCAAUAUAAUUGGUAAUAAUAAUAAUCUCAUUAGAGUUAAUAAUUUUAUUUCUUAAUUAAUAAAGAUAAUUUGAGAUUUUUAUAAUAUAUAUGAGAAUAUAUAUGAAAUUGUAUUAAUUAAAAAAAAUGAUUUUUAAUAUUAGAUUUUGAAAAGUUACUCCAACUUUUUAAAAUCCGUUGUAAGAUGAGACAAUUUUAUCAAAAGUGAUUUUUUAAAAAAUUCAUCUAAUACUAAAAUUAACUUUUAACUUUUUUGAAAGCAAUAGCAAAGUAGCUCGAUAGAGCUACUCACAAGUUACACGUAUAAUUGAUAAUAUUAAUAUGUGGGACCUAUAUAUGACUUGAAUUGUUGAACAUUAAGUGUUGAUAGUGAUCACUAACCAUUUUAAAAAAGAAAGAUUAUAAUAAAAAUGUGAUAUAUAUAGCAUUGAUAGCAACAAAAAUUGACCCAUGUCCCCCAAUAACACCUUUCAUUGACCACACUGAAUCCUCCAUAAAUUUGGUAGAUCUUGCCCUUUGUAUAUGGACAUUGUUUCCCCACGCAUCACAAUUAUAGCGUAGUCAUUGCAGUUACCUUUAAAAAAAAUUAAUAUUACAUAAAAAAAAAUCUACCAUUGUUGUGAAUCUAUGUGGGAAGCAUCCUAACAAUUACAAAACAGAUGGAAAUAAGAUGAAAUAAAAGGAAUGAAAAGAAAUAAGAUAAGGGUAAUUUCAGAGAGAAUCAAGCUUUUCGCUAACCUUCUAUUAACUCUUUUGCUUAUUUGAAAAUUAUAUAUAUGUUUUGUUGAAAACUAAGAAGGAUUAAAUUGCUCAAACUAAAACUACUUCGGCAACAUAAGAAUUUUGUUAAACUAAAAGAUUUUGUUGAUAUUUUACAGAGGAACACUACAACACUCAUGGCUCACUCUUCUUUCUCUCUAAUAAUUUUUCACCCUUCACUUGAUUCCUACAACAAAGACCUUAAAGGUAUUUAUAGUAACCUAGAACUAAUACAAACCACACAAAUAUUAAAUUACAAAAAAUAUGAAAACCACAUUUUAUAAAUAUCUCCAAAUAUUUAAAAAAAAUCUAAACUUAGAUAUUUUUGUCUUCAUUAGAUAUUUUAGGUUAUAAAUAUCUCUUAUUCUCUAUACAAUUCUUGAAUCUUCCAUGAAUUGGGCUUUGAACUUGGGUUUGGACAAAUGUAAUUGAAUUAGAUCAUGAAAUUGGUGUUGGACUUUUGACACUCUCCUUCAACACCAACUUUCAUCCUUCAAUCCAUAUUGAGCUGCUAGUGAAACUCUUCAAACUUCGUGGUACUAAAACCUUUUGUAAACAAAUCCACAACUUCAUGUUGCAAGACCUUUUUCCCUGAUGAAGUCAUAAUGCGCCUUCAUAUGUUUAGUUCUUGCAUGGAAAACUAAAUUUUCCACCAAGCUAAUUGCCAAUUGAUUACCACAAUACAAUGGUACUGGAUAAUAUACUAGUUGGUGUAGAUCCUUCAUCAACUGCAUUAACCAAGUACUUUUUUGAGCUGCCAUCACUAUUGUUGUAUACUUGCUUCUAUGGUUGCACUAGAAAACUACUUUAGACCCCAUUCUCAAAAUAUAUGUAGUAGUUGAUCUUCUUGUAUCAUGAUCUCCAGCACAGUGAGCAUCAAAAUAGCCUGCCAGCUUACAACUUUCAAUAUUCUUGUACAAUAGACCGAAGUCGAUUGUACUUUUUACUAUCUCAGUAUUCGUCAAAUUACUUCCAAAUAAGGCUUCUUUGGAUUAUAUGUACUGACUCAUUAUAACCACUGCAUAUGAAAUGUUUAGUCGAAUCCAUUAGGUAGAUUAAAUAACCUAACAAUUGUCGAUAUAUUGUUCUAUCUUGUAAAUCUUUGCCUUCAUAUGUGCACAAUUUUGCAUUGACUUCCAUUGGAGUUAAGAUUGGCUUGCAUUCCAACAUUCUAAACUUCUUUAGCAAGUCUUUAGCAUAUUUUUGUUGGCAAAGAAAUAUCCUCUCUUCUGUUUGAUCAAUCUCUAGACUAAAGAAGUGCUUAAGCUAACCAAGUUCUUUCAUCUGAAAGUGAACUAAUAAUUUCUCUCUUGUUAAUUGAAUCUCUUCUUCAUCAUCACCAGUAAGAAUCAAAUCAUCCGUGUACACAAGUAUAGUUGAUAAAUUUCCUUCAUCAGCAUUUAUGAAUAAGCUAGAAUCUGUAUGUACCACUAAAUAACCAUACUAAGUUAAAAAUUCAGCAAUCUUACCAUACCAUGCCUUUAGUGCUUUCUUUAAACCAUAAAGUACCUUUCUCAACUUACUUACAUAUUUCAGAUAAGUUUUAUUCUCAAAUCCUCUAGGUCGUCCAAGCCUCAUACUUUUGGCCACACAUAAAAGACAAUAUCAAGGUAGACAUGUAGACUUGUCUUGUGUGCCAACAAGACAAGACUAAUCACCCACUUCUGGCUGUAGAACUUUCGAUUUAUUCCUUAAUGUAGAAAGGCAUUUUUUACAUCUAUCUGCUACAAUUUCCAUUCUUUACUAGCUACGAGUACAAGUAAGACUCUUACUGUUAUAAGCUUUGCCACCAAAAUAAAUGUUUUAGCAUAGUCUAACCCGUAUUGUUGUGAGAAUCCUCAAGCUAUCAACCAAUCUUUAUACCUUUCAAUUGAAUCAUCUAGGCGCUUUUUAAUCUUAUACACCCAUUUGUAAAAUUUUGCUUUUGUAUCCUUUGGUUUUGGAACCAUAUCCCAAGUUUGAUUCCACUUAAGUGAGGAGAUUUCUUCCUCCAUUACCUUCAUCCAAUGAGAAUUAUUUACUAUUUCUGCUAAUGUCUUAGGUUCUUUUAUUUUUUUCUUCUUCUGCAGCUGCUCUAUUAGCGUACCUGAGAUUUGGAUUUCUCAUUUUUUUUUUGGAUCAUCUAAAUUGAGAUUUAGGAUUCUUCAUCUUCAAUACGGCUCUGGUGAAAACUUGUCUUCUAAGGACUUCAUGCCUCAUCAUGCUCGAUAUCAUCAUCCUUUGGAUUACCAGAAUCUUUAAAUUUUUUCUAGCUUGGGUAAAUUUUAGCAAUUCAUUCCUUCAUUUGAUCUUAAAUUUCUUUUAAAUAUGGUAGCGUUUCUUUUUUGAAAGACCACCACAAAGAUGAUUCAUCAAACACCAUGUUUUGUGUUGUGCAACAUCAUCCACUAGUAAGAUUACAAUACCUCCAUCAUUUCCUAUGGUAGUCAUACCCAACAAAGAUACAAUGAAUCAUUUUCUAGUCAAAUUUGCUUCAUAAAUAGCUUGGCAUAAAGACAUAGCACGCACAACCGAAUACACGAAAGUGGUUGACUAUAGGCUUUACAUUUCACAACUUCUCGUAAGGUGAUAUGAAAAUUAGUUUUGCUGAGGAAGUCUAUUGAUCACAUAAGUUGCAUCUUCAUAGAUUCAGCCCAAAAACUCCCUGGUGCAUUCUUUCCCUAGCUAAAUGCAGGUUCUUUCGUUCUACGACACUGUUUUGUUGUAGUGUAUUGGCACAAGUGAACCGAUAGAGUAUCUUAAAAUCUCGAAGAUACUAAGUGAACUCAUAUGAUGUAUAUUCUAUUCUAUUGUUUGUUCAUAGACAAGAAAUCUUCUUUCUUACUUCUCCGUCUACUACGUCUCUAGAUUCCUUAAACUAAGGGUGGGCAUCGGUUCGGUUCGGUUUCUAGAUAAUUUUUUUGUUUUGGUUCGGUUCGGGUCCAAAAUUCAAAAAAUCCGUUUGGUUUUUAGAGAAAAUAAAAACCGAACCGGAACAGAUAGUUCGAUUUGGUUUGGCUUCAGUUUUUCAGUUCGGUUUCGAAUUUUCGGUAACGGAUCGGAUUAACAAAUCGGUUUUUCUGUUUAUCUUAACUUGCACACAAGGCCUACCAUAAUUAAUUAUAAUCAGCAAAAAAAUUACAAAUUUGUAUAAGCAAAAAAAAUUGUAAAAUUUUGGACUAAACUGAAUAAUUUUCAAAAUCAUCAUCACUGUUUUUAAUAUCAAAACUUUUGGCUCAAAACAUAAAUAAAAUAAAAUAAGUUUCUGCGCCAUAAUAUAACUUAUAAAAAACAUAAGGAUCAAACUGUUAUUUUGCCUUGUUGACUUUUGGUCAAGGACUUUUUUGAAAAGUUUGCAAAACAUGUUAGGCCAUAACAAAAUUUCUAUAUGCAAAUAUUUUCUAAAUAUUGGGCCAUACUAAAAUUUUAUAAAAGAGAUGGACCCGAAUGAUAUUAUUGGUUUGGUUCGGGUUUUUUAAAGUUUGAUCUGAAAUCCGAACCGAACCGAAAUACUCAGUUUUUUUCAAAUAAAAAACUAAACCGAAACAAAAAAAAAAAUGACCAAACCAAUUUUUUUUCGGUUCUGGUUCAGUUUUACCCACCCCUACCUUAAACUUUGAAAAAGUAUCCAAUUUUUCUUUCACAAAAAAAAAAAUGACACACCUGCAGAAGUCAUUGAUAAAUGUGACCAUAUAUCCCAUACCACUGAUAGAAGGUUGCUUGAUAGACCUAAACACAUUAGAGUGCACCAACUCUAAUAGUUCUUUUGCUCUGAAUUUCGACUCCUCAUAUGGGAGUUGGUGAGUCUUGCCAUACUAACGCCUUGCAUAUACCUUGUCUAUUCUCAUAUCAAGUUGAGGCAGGCCUCUGAGUAUUGACUUGUUCAUCAUCACCUUCAACUUAUAAUAGCUAACAUGUCGCAACAAAGCUUGCCAUAAAUUUACUGUCUCAUUCUUUCGUGUCUUAUUUACAUAAGUAGACUCUGCUGGUAAUACAUAGACUGACUUUAACCUUCAUCCUUCUAUAAUAUGUGUCCCCGAAAUCUUUACGUCUUGAUACAUCCUGGCAUUUUAAGGAUUGAACAAGACAUAGUUGACUAAUGAUGUUAAUUGUGAUACUGAGAGUAAGUUUUCUUUAUGCCUGGGGCAUAAUAUACAUCUUGAAGUGACAUUUUGUGCGGAUCAUAUCAAGGUGUAAGAAAUGUAGUGUCAUCAUAAGCUAUUGGCAAUCGCGAGUUAUUUGUUGUUAUUGCCACGCGACCUCCUUUGUACUUAGUCAUGCUUAUAACUUCUUUUUAUCACCAGUCAUGUGAUUUGAACACCCUGAGUCGAUGAUCCAAUCACUCUCGUAGUUGAUUUGGCUAGGUAUUGUGACUACAGAGUUAACUUCUCUUUCUCAAUGGCGAUUGAUGCUUUGGUUUCCCAUUCCUUAUUAUUGUCCUUCUUCUAAUUGGAAGUGGCAACAUUAUUCCCCUCAGACUUUUUCUUAAACCAGCAAUCUUCUACCAUAUGGCCCUUCCUUCUACAAUUGUAGUAAUUCCCUUCAAACUUUUUUUUAGCUUGUAUUGGCCACCAUUGCCGCUAUUCUUUUGUGCUCCUCUAGUUUAUGAGCUACCUUCUUGUUGAUGACCUCUUGACUCAUCAACAUCUCCUUUAGAUCCUCUACCAUUAUGUUGUCUAAAUUGAUGUCUCUUCUUAUCAAUUAAGAGCACUUCUUUAUCAUUUUAUACUGAAGCCCCACUCAUUUGCUUGUCAAUCACUUCUUGAUUAGCAAGCAAGUUUUCAAAUUCCUUAAAGGUUGGUUGAGUUAGCCUACUUGAACAAUUGUAACAAAGCUCUUAAACUCAGGCCUCAAACUAUGGAAAAUAAUUCUCUUCAUUCUAGAUUCAUAAAUUAUAACAGUAUAAUCUUAGAAAUUUACAGCAUAAACACUUUACGUUACUGAAGUACUCAUCAAUUUUUAUGUUUCAUUGUGAAAUUGAUAGUAGCUCAUUCUCUAGAAGUUGUAGCCACAUGUUGUUCUUCUUCAAAAAAUUGUUGCAAAAGUGUCCAAAACUUUCUUAGGCGUUUUAGCCUUUUUUUUGUAUUGUAGUAUAUCCUCUUCAAAUGUACUCUUGAUAGCGAACAUAAGCUUCCCAACUUUAAUAUUCCAACCUCUUUAAAGCAGCAUCCUCAGUUGGUGGUUUCAUAUUGUUACUGCAAACGAUCUCCUAGAGGUCUUGGCCUUAUAAAUAGGAUUCCAUCAUUGUUGUCCAUGUAUUGAAAUUUCUAUUGUUGAGCUUCUUGACUCCUCCAACUACUUCAAGGUCACCUAUCAUAUUUACAAGACUUUGACAAUGCCAAGCAAACUUGAUCUUCACCAACGAACUUGCAGAAUUUCAAGCUCCUUACAAUUUAACAAAACUCCACCAAAUGAUCCUCGAUCAUCCUAGCUGUACUCCUAUAGCUUCUCCACGAUAGUCUUGGACUGUUGUGAAUGUUUAGCACCACUGCUGCUGUGGUCUACAACCAAUCACGGCAUCAAUACUGUAAUGUCGUCGUUAAAAUCACGGUAUCAAUACUAUGAUUAUUGUGUGCCGUUAGAUUAAAUCAACGAUUCACAAUAAUUAUAAUUCAAUAAAAGAAAUAAAUUAAAUUACAUAUAACCGGUUACAAGCCGGUUAAAUAUUAUUUUAAAAGUAAAAUUUUACCAGUUUAAAAUUAAAGAAAGGGGGUUUUCCUAUUAAAAGAAUAAUAUAAUAUAAAGGCAAAAUUCAAUCCGUAAUUAAUGAAUUACAAAUAAGAAAGCCACACCUACCCCUGCGUUAACUUCCGUUCGAGUGCGUCGACAAUACCUCUGCAGAUUGUAGUCAUCCUUUAGCUAAUUUUCUGCCUUUCAAUUGUUGCGUCUCUACUGUCGCUGUCUUCGUCUUGGUUUGUUCAUCAUCACUCGUGCAAGGUAAGUUAAUCAUUGGCUUCCAACUUUAGAGAGUCGAAGGUUUCAUGUUAUGCUAAGCAGUUGAGUUCCAGAUCUCUCAAUCAAUUUUAUAUUAUCUGAUAUAGUAUUCCUUCUGUGCACAAUUUUUCAUGCUCACUCUGUUUUGGUCCUCUGGCAUGAUAAGAGAGAAAGAGAGAGAAAGGAGCAUAGAAACUGUAGAAUAAAUUUUCUAUUUUUUCAUCCUCUAUCUCUUGUUUCUUUUAACUCUUAAUGUUAGCAGAAUUAGCAUAGAAACUGUAGAAUAAAUUUUCUAUUUUUUCAUCAUCUAUCUCUUGUUUCUUUUAACUCUCAAUGUUAGCAGAAUUAAGUCAACAUCAAUAUGUUGGGAAAAUAUGCUCUUUAAAAGUAUAUGUGUUUAUUUAAUUGUAAUAAAUAUUUUUUCUGAUUAAUAAAAUUAAUGAGGUAUUUUAUUCAAAUAUCUUAAUUGCAUUAAUAUUUUUAUUAAAGUCCAUUUAAUCAUAUUAUAUGUAUUUAUGUGAUCACCAUGUGGAUUCACAGAAGACAUAAAUACAAGUUAUCUUAUGAUUAAAUAAAUUUAGUUCGCAGUUGAUAAAUAAAGUUGGGCACUUUAUUUAGGUAUAGACUGUAAUAAAUUCAUUGAAUGAUUUGUCUUAAUCAUGUAUGAAUUUAUUAAUGUAGUGCGACUACAUUGAACAAGAUCACAUAUGAGAUUUAAUUAACUUUGUAAUAAUUGUCAGACUUAUUAAAUCUCAUAGGCAUUGAUUUUACUGUAAUCUUAAUCUUGAGUUAAUUAUGAUUUCAUUAUUGUAAUUGUUAUUCCAUUUGAGUUACCAAUGGGCAUGACACAUACUUGUAGUCUAGUAUACCCGGUAUCUUGGUGGGAGCAUUUAUGAGUAUUGGAGUUAUAGAUUAACAAUAUAGAAUUUGUACAACACAUCUCUUGAUGGGUUUUCGGCACUUGAUCAUAGAAUUCUCUGGCCAGAGUGUGUCAACAUAUUUAGUAUGUUGAAAAUGAUCAUUAGAGAAAACCAGUAAGGAUCAAGGAAUAAGAUGUUAUUAAAUUGAUUGGACAGUUGAGAUAUCAAUUUAAUUAAUGAUGUGAUACAAAGGAUUGUGCAGUAAAGAAAUCAAUGUGGCUUGAGACGAAUUAUUAUUCGAGCAUACAAUUAUGGAGGUCAAUUCCAAUCUUUUAGUGGAGUAGAUUUGGAAUUAAAUAAUUAGGCUAGUUUAAUUACAGGCCUAAUUGUUAUAGCCACUAUUGUAUGUUCCCAAAUGAUCCCCGGGUUAGCUUAUUUAAUUGACUGCACCACUAUUGGACUAAUAAGCAAGAUAACUGGCUAUUUGGGUCAAAAGCCUAAAUAUAUCAUUUAGUGGGAGGCUCCAUUUAAUUAGCUUAUGUGUAAAGGACCUUAUGUUAUUUUACAUGGUGGGUCCCCUAUUAAAUGAAAAGUAACGUGAGUUUUAUUUUGGGUAAUUAUUUGGAGCCUAGGGUUUUCACUAAAGUGAGAUAUAUAAGGCUUAUUUUCUCUAAAGGAAAACAGUGAAGCCACUUUAUACAGAUCAGAGAAUAAGAUUUUUCUCUCUAUUGUUGAAAGAAAAAUUCUCGUGCUAGUUGCUUUAGUAGUGAUAAAGGUGCACACACAUCAAGUGCAGAUCGAACCUGAGUCAUAACCUGGAAGAUCAUUGGUGACAGUUCGUGAUCUAACAAGCGUGGUGGUGACGGAUCGUGAUCUAACAGGAGUGGUGGUGGCGGAUCGUGAUCUAGGAGACUAAAUCACUUCAGCGGGAAAAGCCAACUCGGAUUUUCAAGGUACAAUUUCUAGAAUAUAAAUUCUUAUAUAUUAUAUGAGAGCGAUCUUCAAAAGGUUUUAUAAAAAAUUUAAAAACCUUAUUUUUCCCCAACACAAUAAUCAUGUCCUCUUACCAUUAUUCUCUCCAUCAUCAUCAUUGCUCCCACUUCAUUCCCACACAAGUCAAAAAGUCAUCAUUAAGAAAGAGAUUAUUAGAAUAGCAAAUUAGCCCUCGUAAUUUCUUUCAUGUGUAUGAAAUUCUAUCUCAGUCAAUCUAGGUCUUUGUUUUGAGUGAAGGGUUGUAUUUUCCUUUCACGUUUCAACACUUUGAAGACAUUGACUUUUGGGGAAUCAAGCAUCUUGGUCCAAUCAUUUGAUUUGCUGCAUCAAGCAAAUUUAAGUUGCUCCAUCUUCUCAGCCGGUUUAAUUUCUUUGCAUAAUUUUGCCUCAAUUACUCAAGUUUUCUUUCCAUAUUUUUUUAAAAUUUAUUAGGAUUAAUUUCUCAUAUUUUUGAAUUAAUCAUAUGGUCAUAUAGUAAAUAAGAGCUAUACCUCCAAAAUCAUCGACCCAUCCAUCAUGACCAUUCAUAGAACAGAAUCAACAUAAGUCGUGACACGCCGAAACGACCACCACCAAGUAAACCUAUUUUUGGUAUAAUUGUUUGUUUACUAUAAAUAAUUUCAACAUAUACUCUAAUUACAAGUAGGGAUUAAUCAAUGAUACACAAUAAUUAUAAUAUAAUAAAAGAAUUCAAUUAAAUUAUAUUUUACUGGUUACAAGUCGGUUAAAUAUUGUUUUAAAAUUUAAACUUUAUUGGUUUAAAUUUUUUUUUAUAAAAAAAGGGAUUUGACUUUUAAAAGAAUAUAUAUAUAUAUAUAUAUAUAUAUAAACUUGGCGAUUUGCUUUUGCUUUCUCUUUGGCUUUGUGAUUUGAGUGGGAAACCUGAGUGGGAAACCAAGAGGAGAGUUGGGUUUUCCAGAGAGGUUAAUAAAGAAUAAUCUUUUUACAAUUAGGACUUAAGAGCAACAAUAUUGAUGAUUUGUCGAGCGGUGUAAUCGCAGGAGAUGUUGGUUUCAGCAUUAGUAAUCUCUUUAUUCAGAUUGUAGAAUGGGGAAUUUUGGAGUGUGAUCCAGGGAUUCUAACAGUCGCAAUCGUGAAUUUUUUUCAUGCAUUAACUUUAUCAAACAUUCAAACCAUAGAUCAGGAUUCUCUCCUGAUCUGAUCUCUUCUUGAGUAAAAAUACAUGUCAGUGAUUGGUAGUCAAUAAAUAAAAAAAUAAAGAAAUUAAAUCUUAUCCAUACACUAUCACUUAAAGACACAUAGCACAAGAUCUUUAAAAACUCAUGAGAGUUCAGAUCAGGAGAGGAUCUUUAUCCUCAAACCAUAUAUGCAAAAUGAGUUUUAUCUUUUGAUACAGUGGUGAUUGGCCUUUUUUAAUUGGUAAAAGCACUUUAGCACUUAUGAUUUGUGUGAAUCAAGAAAAGGGGAAAGUGAUUAUUUUUUUAAGAAAUAAAAAAGAGUCUUUACUCUUUAAUUAGACUGGAGUUUGCUGCUAGUUCGUGUUUAAAAAGCAAAUUAAAAGUAUUGGACAUUUGAUUGAAUCUUUUGUUCACCUGAAUUAUUGGAAAUUGAAUCCCAUUUUGCUCCUCUACUUUUACUCUUUUUUAUUUUUUAAUUGUUUAUCUUUAUAUAUUUUAUUACAACAUUACAAUAAUUAUAUUCAAUCAAAUGCCUACUGAAUAUGUAAAUUUAUUUAAUUAUAGCAUAGAUGAGCGGUAGACCGAGCAUACCUUGAAAAUUUACAACUAAUAUAAAUAAAAUUUAUAUUACACAAAUAAAUAUUACAAGUUAGAAUGAGUUCCAAGGAGAUAAUAAAGGGAAAUUUUGUUGGUUAAAAAUAAGUUUUUCUCAAAAAAAAAAAAAAUUCAGGAUCGAUCUCAUACAAUACAUAAGAAUUCAUAAUCUAGAAAAUCAUACCUUAACAAUCCGAGAAAAUGAAUAAUCGAAAUUAAUCUAGGCUUGCAGAUCACGAUCUGUCACCACCACUCUUUUUGUUGGAUCACGAUCCGUCAUCACCACGCUUGUUGGCUCACGAUCUGUUACCACCACACUUUCGUUGUGCUUGUUAGAUCACGAUCUGUCACCAAAUAAUCUUCCAGGCUAUGACUCAAUUUUGAUCAACAUUGGACGUGUGGGCGUCCGUUUCACUACUUCCAAAACAAAGCUUCCUCUUUUGUGUUUUUCUGAAAACGUGUAUUUUUUAAUCACGUACCUCCUUAGGCUUGAGAAAAAUACACUUGUUUAAUAUCUCUUGUAAAACCCUAGAUAUGUAUUAUUAUAAUUCAAUAUAAAAUAUUUUGAAUUUAAUAUUAUCUCUCCACUUAUGUGAAAGUGGAGAUCAUGUGCAACCACUUUGGGGCCCACCUUGUAAAAUAACACAAGGCCCCAUUUGUGCAUGAGUAUAAUACAUAAGGUCUUAACAAAUAUUAUAAUUAGGUUUAUCACCUAAUAUGCCAAUUUUCUUAUUUUUAGGUCCAAUAGUGGUACAGAAAAUUAAAUGAGCUAACCCGAGGAUCAUUUGGGAACAUACAAUAGUGGCUACAACAAUUAAACUUGUAAAUGAACAAGCCUAAUCAUUUAAUUCCAACUCUACUCCACUAUAAGAUUGGAACUGUCUUCCAUAAUUGUAUGCUUGAAUAAUAAUUCAUUUCAAGCCACAUUGAUUUCUUUAUUGCAUAAUCUUUUGUACUACAUCGUUAAUUAAAUUGAUAUUUCAACUAUCCAAUCAAUUUAAUUACAUCUUUUUCUUUGAUACUUACUGGUUUUCUCUAAUGACCAUAUUUAACAUACUAAAUAUGUUGACACAUUCUAGCCAGGGAAUUCUAUGAUCAAGUGCGGAAAACCCAUCAAGAGAUGUAUUGUACAAAUUCUAUAUUAUUAAUCUAUAACUUCAAUACUCAUAAUUGCUCUCAUCAAGAUACUGGGUAAUCUUGACUAUAAAUACAUGUCGUGCUCAUUGGUAACUCAAAUGGAAUAACAAUUACAAUUAUGAAAUUAUAACUAACUCAAGAUUAAGAUUACUGUAAAAUCAAUGCCUAUGAGAUUUAAUAAGUCUGACAGUUAUUACAAAGUUAAUUAAAUCUCAUAUGUGAUCCUAUUCAAUGUAGUCGUACUACAUCAAUAAAUUCAUACAUGAUUAAGACAAAUCAUUAAAUAAAUUUGUUACAGUCUAUACCUAAAUAAAGUGUCUAACUUUAUUUAUCAACUGCGAUAUAAAUUUAUUUAAUCAUAAGAUAACUUGUAUUUAUGUCUUUUGUGAAUCCAUAUGGUGAUCACAUAAAUACAUAUAAUAUAAUUAAAUGGACUUUACUCAAAAUAUUAAUUCAACUAAGAUUCUUGAAUAAAAUAGCUCAUUUAUUUUAUUAAACAGAAAAAUUAUUUAUUACAAUCAAAUAAACACAUAUGCUUUUAAAGAGCAUAAUUUCCCAACAAAAUUAAGUCUAUAGUUAACCUAGAGAAGCAUGCUUGAAACGUAGGGAUUCAAUUGUGUUUGUUACUCUGAAUACAUGCUUUUCAAAAAAUAUGGCACCCUCUCUCAAUUAAUCUUAAAAGAUUAGCUAAGAGCUAUUACAGUGGUGUUUUUUUUUUUUUUAAUGUUGCAUGACAAUUUAUUAAUUUUACCAUAAGAAACAUAAAGUGAAUAGUUUAGAAAUGAUUAAUUUCUCUAGAGUAGUAAGGGGUUUUAGUCAUUACCCCCUGAUGAUAGCUUGAAGUUUUUAGUUGCAAUUUUCAAGUUAUUCGUUACAAAUUCUAAUAAGUUUUCUUUUAUUAAUGUAGUUGUCUAACAUUUUUCAAAUUUAAAUUUUACAAUGAGAUGCAACUUUUACUAAUUACAGUUGGGACUAGGUUUAGCUGGUCCCAACUAUCACCUUAGAAAUAUCUCUGGUUCAAAAAUUUUGAGUUAGAUAUUUGAUUUUUUUUUUUUAGAUAGUAGUUAAUUUACUUCCAGUAUAUGAUCACAAUUAUUAUAGUUGUGUUGGGUGCAGAAAAUGGGAAAAUUACAGUAAGUUUGCACAUGGUUUGCUGUCAAAUGGGCAGAUAAACAAAUGUGUGGUGGAUCAUGGAUGGAUGUCUGGAUGGGGCACUGCAUGAAGAAUGACUUUUAACAACAACCAAUCAGGGGCGGAUCCAGGAUUUAAUAUUACCCCGGGCUAAAUUUUAAAAUUUAUAUUUUGAAGCGAACAUAAAAAUUUAUAAGUAGAAAUAAGUAUAUUAAAUAAGGAGGAAUACCAAGAACUUUAUCUCUCUAAAUAUGUACUAUAAACAAAAAUAAUUAUAAAAAAAGAGUAGAAAACAAAAGACAACUCAAAUAUGAAAUUAUUUUUUAAUUAUAGAAUUUGACAUUGCAACCUAUAAUAACUUGUAAUUAUAUAAGAAUUAAAAAAUCAAUUAAGAAUUUUAAAUUAAAAUAAAUCAAUACAUGUAAUUACAAUCAAUUAAAAAUUGAAAGUAAAACUUUUAUGCUUGAAGUGAAGUACUAAAUUACCUGACUUAAUAAAUUAAAUAAUUAAAAUUUAUUCAUCCUUUCAAAUUGUAAAAGUAUUUUUAAUCAAAAGUUUCAAUAAUAAACUAAACUAAACUCAAUUCAGCAAAAAGAUAUUUGGGUGUAGUUGUUUCUUUGUCAGAUGCUCUAUCUCUCUUUAAAGAACUAGAAGUUGAUGAUUCUUCUAUUAAAAGCUCUUAAAAUACUCAAAUUUUAUUUUCUAACUUGUCCUCUUAGUUAAUAUAACUAAUAAAUAAAAUCUGAAAAUUCACAUUAAAAUUUUAUGAAAACAUUGAUAAUUGUUACUAUAUGUUAUUUCUGUAAGUACUUUUAAGUCUAGUGAUGAUGUUAUAUUACAUUGACAUAUAUAUAUUUUAAUUAGAAGCUUUUUAAAAUAAAUUAAAGCAGUAAUAAAAUUUUAACACCCUAAUGUUUUCAAUCUAUUCAAUAAAUAUAUAAUUUAAUCAUUUUAUAAAAUAAGUCACUAAUUUCAAUUGAAAAUAAUAUAAUUGACUUAGGGACACAUUUAUAAAUAAAAUAAAAACUCUAUUAUUAUAUAAAAUUAAUGAAAACAUAUGGGUAAUUGAGUUAGGGAUAUAUUUAAAUAUAAAAUGAAAACUCUAUUGUUAUACUAAAUUGAUGAAAAUGUAAGGGUAGUUGAGUUAGGGACAUAUAUGAAAAUAAAAUGAAACCUCUAUUCUUUUACUAAAUUAUUAAAAAAGUAAGGGGUGUAAAUGAUUUUUUCUAAACUAGACCGGGCUGCAGCCCGGUCUAGCCCACGUGCGGGUCCGCCACUGCAACCAAUGCUUGUUGCUAAAUGGAUUUCACAACAAACCUUUGCAUGUUGUGGAUGUUGAUGUUGUCUAAACAAUAAUUUUAAUAUCUAGGAAAUACCUGAUAUUAUUAAGAAUUGUAUACUUUACAUGAAUUGAAUGACAACAUUCAAUAGUACUUCUCAUUGACGAUGAAGGAGAUUAAUAUAUAGCAGCAACUCCUCCAAGUCUUUUAAAACAUUAGCAAUAGCUAAUCCCAGUCCCCCAGAUAGAGUUUUAUAUAUAUGGCUGCCUUUCACAAAGUUUUUAGUUAGCUUAGUUCAGGAAGAAAAAUUAUAGUAUGUAUAUAUGAACUAUCAAGGUUUUACUUCAAUUCAACCUAAUUUAGGACUAUUAAGCACUAAUUAUGUUUACAAAAAUUAGCUUGGUGGGCAACUAUGACACAGUAACUUUAAUUGAGUAUGGAAAAUUAUUUAUGGAAUAGCUCAUAAGAAAAAAUAAAAUACCUAGUGAAUACUUUGCAGAAAAGGAAGUUCGAAUAUUGAAUUAUCAAUAAUCAGCUAUUACUUAAUAAAACUUUUGAAAGACUUUUCUAUUGUAAUUUUAGUAAUAUACUACAUCCUUUGUGAUUGAAAUAGUGCAACAACUUAAGAAAGAUUAAUUGCUCUCUCCUGUUGACUUUCUACAAGCUCUGAUUAAAUACAUGAUAAAGAAUACUUAAAAGACUAUAAUGAAAAAAAUGAAAUGACUAUAUUACUUAAACCACAAAAACAAAGACUUUAAUGAAAAAUAAAAUGACUUAAAAGUAGCUUUAAAAAGAAGUCCAGAAAGAAUACUUUUAUGGUCUUUAACAUAAUCACUGUCUAUAAAUAUAAAUGAUAUAAAAUCCAUAGAUUAUAAGAUAUUCCUCACUAAAAAUACUUGUUUUUUACUCACAAGUAAGUUUCAUAAUUUAUAAAUCAAGUAGUCAGCCCAAGAAUUGUUUAUGUAAUCACAUAAACUAUAAUUUAUUAGCAUCAUACUUCUUAGUUUUAUGGAAGUCAAAAAUUCCAAAAUAGUUCAUGUGGAGAAAGUUCUAUCACAAAACAAUUAAAAUAAAUGCCUCAAUGAUUAACCACACAAUUACCUAAAUCACCAGCAGCUUUAGUUGCUCGCUUACAUCUUCAGCACAGACAUUUGCCAUAAAUCUUCUUAGUUGUUUAUCCAACUAUUUUAUCACAAUAUAUUGGUUGUCAAAAUCACCUGAUUUCGCAAAGUUUGCAGUCAAAAGCAUAACUCAAACCAACUAGUAAUUAUAUUGGAAAAUUACUCACUCAGUCAAUUGUAAGUGAAGCUUGCAUUUCACUUGUAUUAUGCCAAAAAUUACAAAUGUUUGCGGACUAUUAUCAUCAUUAUCACAUUUACAGGGGCUCGACGAAGUUUUCCUUGAUGAUUAUUUGAGAAAAUUUGAUCCACUUUGGGAUUUUUUUAGUUUUAAAAUUUCAUAUCUAGAUAAUGUCCCAUUACAAUCAAAUGGAGCUGAUUGCGGCUUGUUUGUGAUGAAGUUCAUGGAGAUGCAGUGUGAUAUAGUAUCCAUAAAAUAUGUAUGUGACAUUAUUUUUAUAUCAUAGUGAUUCAAAUUUUUGCAAUGAAUGAUGACUAUUUCUCUCUUUUUUUUUCUUAAUUUUUAUAGCACUUUGUAUAACUCAACAGUAGAAAGAUAUCGAAUCGCACUCUAGCUUGUCAACGGAGAUGCAAACAAGAUGAGAGAUAGUAAUAGAGAUAAAGCUUAAUUAUUUCAUGAGUUUAUAAAGGGAAGAAACGAAAAAUUCUAUAUGGGUAAUUUGGUAAUUGCUAAUAAAAAGAAGGCAUAUGUGGGAGUGGAGAAAUUCUAAAAUACGUCGGAAAUAAUACAACUAACUAAUAUAUGAAUGACAUAUUUAAUUGCAUUUAAUAACCACUUGCAUAGUAAUUUUUCAAAAUAAAUAUACACAUGUCAUAAUAUUAUCUGCUUGUUGUAUAGCUCACAUGGUACUUCUGAUGUAUUCUAUAAUUUUUCAUGGAGUGUAGGUGGGGAAGCCUUCUCCUUUUCUCGUUCCCUUUAGAAUUUGUCUCAUAUUUUUUUGUCUUAUUCUCUAAUGACUUUAGUGAAGUGAGGAUGGUGAAUGCCAAAGUCAGAAUCAAUUUUUCAAUUCACAUCCCAUUACACAUUUAGCUAUUUUAUAAAAGAUUCUUACAUAUAAUUUCAGUAAAAUAAAAAUUAAGACUAACUCAAAUAAACCAUCACUAAUAUAUUAUAAAAUAUUUAAAUUAUUAAAAAAAUUAUAAAAAUAAUAACAGAAAAAUAUACAUAUCCAUUAAGAAUUUGGGAAACACAUCAAAAUUUGGGGGGGGGGGGACCAGUGGAGUCCCAAACUCGUGAAUUGUUGUGAAAAAUUUAAUAUACUCACAAGUGCACAAAUCUAGAAAUAGAAUAGUAGUAACGAGGUCAAACCCACAAAAAUUGUUAUAAAUUAAAAAGUCUAAUUUAAAUCUAAAAUUAAUAUUAAUUCUAACUUAGUUGAGCAAAUUGAGUUUUUAAGAAAAUUAAACUAAUUAAACUAAGAAAACAAUUAAAGUAAAGGAGAAUUCAGUAAGACAAAAUUUAUCAAGAUUUCUGAAUCCACCAUUAUUCAACUAGUAAUUAUCUAAAUAUUAAUUAAUCCCCAAUUUUAGAGUGACAACUCGAAAUCAAUCUAUGUCAUCUCAUGGAUACAACAAUUAAGCCCAAGUAAUUAAAUCUAAUAUAGGUUCUUUUUAUACUUAAUAGUAUGAUAUCUAAGAAUCACGUGUAAACAUAUUAAAUAACAAAGAGUCAAAAUUUUCGUAAGCACUUUGUGUAAACAAUUUAAUGAAAGACACAUAAUCAAAGAUAAUUAUGUAUAAACUUUAUAGAUCCAAGUAUAGAUUUAGUCAAAUAUUAAUCUUAACAAUCAAUAAUUAAUGACAAAAUUGGUGAAAAAAUUUAAUAACAUCCAAUUAAUUAUGUGAAACAAAAACCAUAAACAUUAAAGCACACAUGUAGGGAAUUAAUUAAAUAAAAAGAUAAUUAUUUCAUUAAAUAAAGUUUUAUCAUUAAUCUCAGUAUAAGAAAAUUAGCUAAACAUACUUGAAUUGUGAGCAACAAAAUAAAUAAAAUCAGCCAUGGGAAGCCGAACUAAUGCUGCUGCCGCUGCUCUGUAUUCUCUGCCGCUGCUCUCUAUCCUCUCAAAAGCCAAAGUCAGCUUUUAUAGUUAGCUAAAAUGGGCCACGGACCUUGUCAAUUUUAAAGCCAAAGGCCUUUUAAUUUGUUUUGCUCUCACACGUGCUCAUCACUUGCAUUAGGAUUCAUUCUUUUUUCCACUUAUGAAAGCCAAGUGCGGGUCCCUUUAAAUUGCUUUCCAUAUAUUACAAUGCCAUGCAAUUGCUUCUCACGUGCUGGCCACUUUUAAAGCUAAAAUCACUUUCUCUCCUUUGUCCACAUGUGCAUGAUGAAUGAAUUUGUUGAGUUCGGUUCUUUGGCUUCACAUGCAUAUUUGCCUAAUUGCUCCCAAAAAUCAAUUAAUCUUUAAUGCUUCCGAAAUUGAACUCUUUUAAGCCUUUUUUUUUUUAUCUAUAAUCUCAUAUUAAUUUCCUAUUCAAUAAAACAAUUCAAUUAAUUAAAAAUAAAAAAUAAAAAAAACUAACAAAUAUACAAUAAAAGAUAACAUAUGUAUAUGAAUUAUGCUCAUCAUGAACCAUUUCUAGUUGGCCACAUUGGACUUUUUACGAUCGGUGUUCAAAGAACUUUUAGAAAGGAAGCAGAUAAUAAUUUGAAUGAAAUUACUGCGAAAGUUCCCUGAAGAUUCGAGGGAGUAGUAGAGCAUACAUAUCAAGAGCACAGACACAUUCUAUUAUUAUCGCAUCCUAUAUUUUUUUCUGAUCAAAAUCAUUUUAAUCAAUUCAUUUGAACUGCUGUUAUGUUUUCUUCUUCUUCUCAUUCAUCCACCAGUUUGAGUUUGAUGAAACCUCGAAACAACAAUAAGUAUUACGUUUUCCUGAGUUUCAAAGGAGAGGACACCCGUGAUGACCAACUAUCUUUAUUCAGCUUUGUCUCGAAAAAGCAUCGAAACUUUCAUUGAUGACCAACUAAACAGAGGAGAUAAAAUUUCACAGUCUCUUGUGAAUGCAAUUGAAGCAUCAACCAUUUCGGUUAUCAUUUUCUCUGAAGGCUAUGCCUCUUCCAGAUGGUGUCUCGAUGAACUUUUAAAGAUCCUCGAAUGCAAGAGAGAGUAUGUACAGAUUGUGAUACCAGUUUUUUAUCGCGUUGAUCCAUCAGACGUGAGAAACCAAACAGGGACUUUUGGGGAUUCAUUUUCGAAGCUUGAAGAAAGAUUUAAAGAGAAUUCAAAGAAGCUGCAGAGUUGGAGGAAUGCUUUGAAGGAAGCAGCCAGUUUGUCUGGCUUUCAUUCUCAUAACAUUAGGCAAUUAAAUCUGUUUCUUCUGAUUAAUUAAUUACUAGCAGCUCUGCUUGCACAAUUCCUCCUUUACAAAUGCUCUGCUAGUUGGUAUUUAUAUAUUUUCAUCGGGUGUUCUGUCAUAUAAUAUAUUAAACACUUUCAAAGUAAGAGCUACCGAGUCAGUCAUAUUUGGUGCAAAUCCUGCCUAGAUAUUUGAACUUACUGCAGUUUUAUGGAUUUGCUAGACCUGAAUCAGAACUUACAGAGGAAAUUGUUAAUCACAUUUUGAAGAGACUGGCUGAAUUGUUUCCGCAUAAUAACAAUCGGUUGGUUGGAGUAGAAUCAAGGGUUGUGGCAAUUGAAUCUCUGUUAAGUGCUGCACCUCUCUUAGCGAUUUGGGGCAUUGGUGGUAUAGGCAAGACAACAAUUGCUAGAGCUACUUUCGAUAAAAUCUCAAGUGAUUUUGAAGGGUCUUGCUUCCUUGAAAAUGUUAGAGAAGAGUCACAACGACUAGGAGGUCUAGCUUGCUUGCGACAAAAACUUCUUUCAAAUUUAUUUAGGGAUGAAAAUAUGAUUCCUGAUAUUGACCUCCACUUUAAAAGGCUCAGCCGCAGGAAGGUUCUGGUUGUUUUUGAUGAUGUGACUUGUUUUAACCAAAUAGAAUCUUUUAUUGGAAGUCUUGAAUGGUUCAUGCCUGAGAGUCAAAUCUUAAUUACCACAAGAAAUAUAUGAGAUGAAGGGUUUAAGAUAUGAUCAUGCACUUGAGCUUUUCAGUCGACAUGCCUUCAAACAAAACCACCCUGAUGUAGGUUAUGAGGAACUGUCAAGCAAGGUAAUACAACAUGCUCAAGGUGUUCCUUUAGCUCUUAAAGUUUUGGGUUGCUUUCUAUUUGGAUGGGAAAAAAAAGUAUGGGAAAGUGCAAUAAACAAAUUAAAACAGAUUCUCCAUCCGAAAAUCCAUGAUGUGCUAAAACUAAGUUACGAUGAUUUGGACGUUAACGAGAAAGGUAUUUUCCUGGAUGUUGCUUGUUUCUUUAAAAGUGAUGAUGUAUAUCCAGUAAUGAAAUUCCUUGAUGCAAGCGGCUUUCACCUAGAAAUAGGAAUAAGUGUUCUUGCUGAUAAGUCUCUCAUUGAUGUUAAUCCAUACGACAGAAUAACAAUGCAUGAUUUGCUGCAAGAAUUGGGUAGGGAAAUUGUCCGACAAGAAUCAAUUAAUCCUGGAAACCAGAGUCGUUUGUGGCAUCAUGAGGAUAUGUACGAAAUUCUUACAAAUAACACGGUAAGCAUUUUGUUAGGAAUUGGUAUUUUGGAAUAAUCUUCGAUUUAUACAAAUAUUAGAGUGUCGAUGAUUGAAAAAAACAGUAAUUAUUGUAGCAAUAAAUUAUAAUUGCCAUUCAACUAUAUAAUUGUUUGUAUAAAUAACUUAUUUGUCAAGUUGUAUAGUAUAUAUUAUAUACAUACACAACCUUUAUGUUUAUGUGUGUUUGACAGCCUAAAAAUCGCUAUCAACUUGAUUUACAUAAAUUUGAUUUUAUAACUUUUUGGUGUUUUACUGAUUAUUAGGGGACUAAAAGUAUUGAGGGCAUUUGCUUGGAUAUGUCUAAAGCGAACGAGAUCCGUUUAAAUCCCAAUACUUUCGUAAAGAUGCAUAAAUUGAGAUUUUUGAAAUUUUAUAACUCAAUAAAUGGAGAUAACAGAUGUAAGGUGUCUUAUUUGCAAGAAAGCCCCGGGUUUGCUGAAGUGAGGUUUCUUCACUGGCAUGGAUAUCCAUUGAAAUCAUUGCCUUCAAACAUUAAUCAGAAGAAACUUGUUGUCAUUGAAAUACCUCAUAGCAAUAUUCAACAAUUUUGGGAUGGUACUCGCCAGGUAUGAAUAUCUUUAUUGGUAUAACUUAAGAUAUCAUCGUUUUUAGAAACACAAUUUUAUACACAAAAUCCUAGCCUUUGAAUUUAUAUAGUUGCUACUAUUAAUACUGAUAUAGAUUCAAUUUUAAAACGGAAAAUAAAAAUAAAGUAAUAUUAUUAAUUCUCCCUCUUAUCUCUCCUUUUUUAUUCUAUCUCCACAUUCACGGAUUCUACUACAUUUUAGAGUGUGAGAACGCCAUUAACAAUUUUAUAAAGAAGCUGUGCUCAAAUGUGCAAGUUUCUCUACUUGCUAUGUUUUUACUCGAAAUGGAUAAAUAAUGAUAUGUUAGUAGAAAAGGAACAAGUUCCAAGCUAGGCUCAGUUUCGUAGGAGGAUAAGUUAUCUACGCCAAUAAUCAAUUCUCCUAUUUGUUUCUAUCUAAUGUGAAAGAUAAAAAUGAAUUAUGGAUAUUGUUCCUGCUUUGCACAGAAUGUGUGAAAUUGUUGCCCAUAAAAGAGAUCUUGUGAUGAAUAAUUGGUUUUUCUUCAUCUUCAUGUUUUUUUUUCUUUAAUCUUUAUUACAUUAGUUAUUAUUUUGUUCUAUAGAAAUUAGAAAGUAUCUCUGUUGACUAAAAAAUUAGCCAAGGCUAAAUGUUUUAAUAACUACAUUUUGGCCUAUAAACAGAAGUUAUUUACAGUAAUACCCAAAUAGUUUGAUAAUUUUUCUAAAUAGUGUUCCAGUUGUUCUGAACAUUUACCUUUUACACCACAUUUUUCUGAACAUUUGCAUUAUGAUCCAAGAUUUACAGUGGUAAAGAAUCUUAGCGUUGUACUCCAAUAAAGAGCUCUUAAUUGAUAUAGCAGAAUGAGCUGUUUAAUUAUUAUGGCAGUACCAAGGAGGGAUUCCUUUCUUUUUUAAUUUGAUAGAGAGUAAUAAUAGAUAUCUCAAAUUUUUUAUCUAAAAUAAUAUAUUAUUAAUUAAAUGGUUGAUAAUUUUUUAUGAGAUCCAAGUGAAUUAAUUAUAAUAUUUCACUAACCAAUUAAUGAGUGCUACAUCAUUUAAAAGAAAAUUUAAAAUAAAAAAUUUUAAAUGUUUAACAAUAUUCUUUGAUAAAAGAAGGGGUUCCUUUAAAUGAUGUAGACUUCAAGUAUGAGCGACUGCACAAUUUUUGUUUUAUCUGUGGCAUUUUAGGACACACUGAUAAAAAUUGCCCCUCAAUAUAUGAAACUGGUGCUACCCCUGUUAUUAAACCUUAUGGCCCUUGGAUGAAGGCUCCCAAUCGGAGAAGCUCGAUGAACACCGGUGACCGUUGGCUCAGAUCGGGAGUGUUGGAGAUAGAUGAGGUGAAAUUUGGUAAUCCCUCAACUUCCACUGUUGAAAUGGCAGUUGACUUGGAAAAUGGCGUGAAUCAUGGGACAGCUGGUCACGGAGACCUUGGGAAGGAAAGUGCUCAAGUCACAAUGAAUUCUAAUAUUCUUGUAACAGGCUGUAAGUCAAUGCGUGUAGAUGGAAUUGACGAGGAACUAAUAGCUAAUCAUUCGAUGCUUGCGAAGGAAACUGAUGUGGAGUAUAAUUCUGCAUUAAUUUUAGUUGAUGCAAAACGGAGAAGAUCAGGAGGUGGGCCUCCUAUCAACUUGAAUUUAGAAGAGCAUGCUGAUACUGAGAUAAUGGAGAUGAGUGAGCACUCAAAAAAUGGACCAGCGGUGGGCCCUGUAUUCCAGGCCCACCGACACCAAUGAGUUGUUUAAGUUGGAACUGCCGUGGGUUGGGCCAACCACGGUCAGUUCAAGCUCUUGUUGAGUUGGUCCAGAAUAAAAGACCGGAUUUUAUUUUCUUGAUUGAGACAUUGUGUUACAGAGAUAAGUUAGAAAGCAUCAAAAUUAGAUUAGGUUUUGAGGGUCUGUUUGUGGUGGAUAGAAAGGGCCGUAGUGGUGGGCUUGCUAUGUUCUGGAAAAAUAGUUUUAAAGUUAAUUUAUUGAAGUUUGGGUGUAAUUUUAUAGACUUUGCAGUUGAGGAUAGUGAAAGGGGCAACUGGAGACUUACUGGUUUCUACGGGUUUCCCGAGUCAUUUCUCAGACAUGAUUCUUGGAAUCUUCUCCGGUAUUUAGCUUCUACUUCGUCGUUACCAUGGGUCUGUCUAGGGGACUUCAAUGACCUCCUCAAUUUCUCAGAGAAGCGCGGCUCUCAUGCUCACCCGCAGUGGAAGAUAAAUGGUUUCAGGGCUGCACUUUCUGAUUCGGGCCUCAUUGAUUUGGGUAUGGAUGGUUACCAGUUCACGUGGGAAAGGUCACGGGGCACUGAAGCUUGGGUUGAAGAACGGUUAGAUCGAGCCCUUGCAAAUUCCGCUUGGGUGAAUCUUUUCCCGCAAGCGAAGGUUCUGUGUCUUGAAGCUUCGAGUUCAGAUCACCUCCCUAUCUUUUUGGAUGUGUCUCCUGUGGUUUUGAGACGACGGUCUAUGAAGUUUCGUUUUGAGAACUCAUGGCUUAGAGAUCCGGAUUGUGCUAAUAUUGUUGAGAAGAGUUGGUCUAUGGUGGGUGGGCUUCCUAUUCUCAGUAAAAUCUCGGCUUGCAGCUUAGAUUUAGUUCGGUGGGGCUAUCAUCGUACUCGGGAUUUCAAAGCUCAAAUUAAGGAGUGUAAGGAUAAAAUGCAUCAGCUUAGGGGCAAACGUGAUGCAGUUAGCUUGGCUGAUUUUAUUGAAGCUCGAGAUAGAUACAAUGAGCUCUUGUAUAGCCACGAAGUUUAUUGGAAGCAGCGUUCGAAGACGUUUUGGCUUCGGGAUGGGGAUUCAAAUUCAAAGUAUUUCCAUGCCAUGGCCUCGUCAAGGAAGCGUAAGAAUACCUUAAUCAAGCUUCGCAAUCAAGAGGGGCAAUGGUGUACUAAUCCUGCGGAUGUAAAUAAUUUAAUUUGUGAGUAUUUCACAACUUUAUUUACUGCUGGGAUUUGUUCCUAUGAUGAUGUGCUUAAUUGUGUGGAAUCUAAAAGUACUGAUGCACAAAAUCAAUCUCUUUUGGAACCUUUUACUGCUGAAGAUGUUCAAUCUGCCGUGUUUGAUAUGCACCCUGAUAAAUCCCCUGGUCCUGAUGGAAUGAACCCAGCAUUUUACCAAAAGUUUUGGAAUGUUGUGGGUACUGAUAUUACUGAGGCGUGUCUUAGGUUCAUUCGGGAUUGUUCUUUCCCUGAGGGUCUUAAUGAGACUUCCAUUGUCCUUAUUCCUAAGAAGAAACAGAUAGAAUUUUUAACUGAUGUUCGACUAAUUUCCUUAUGCAAUGUCCUCUAUAAAAUUGUAGCCAAGAUGCUUGCUAACCGUAUGAAGAUGGUUUUAGGAUCGAUAAUUUCUGAUUCUCAGAGUGCUUUUGUUCCAGGCAGAGCUAUUGCUGAUAAUGUUUUAAUCUCGGCUGAGAUAAUGCACUUUCUCAAACGGAAACGUCAAGGAAAAGAGGGGAUUGCUGCAUUAAAGAUUGACAUGUCCAAGGCUUAUGAUCGGAUUGAGUGGGGGUUUCUUAAAUCGAUUUUACUGAAGUUGGGCUUUGAUGUUGUUUGGGUGAAUCUUAUUAUGCUCUGUGUCACUACAGUUACCUAUAAGAUUACCCGGGGAGAGUUGGAGCUAGGCCCUAUCGUGCCAAGUCGAUGUCUUAGACAAGGAGAUCCGCUAUCGCCAUAUCUGUUUAUCAUCUGUGCAAAGGGGCUGAGUUUGCUGAUAAAUCACUAUGAGAGGGCUGGGAUGAUCCAUGGGGCUCGAGUUGCUAGAGGUGCUCCUUUGGUUUCUCACCUCUUUUUUGCUGAUGACUGUUUUCUUUUCUUUAAAGCUACUGUCCAGGAGGCUCAUCUGGUAAAAAAGGUUUUGGCAACUUAUGAAGCAGCUUCGGGGCAGCAAGUGAACUACAAUAAAUCCUCAAUUUCUUUCAGUAGGAAUGUGGCGGAGGAUACUGUUCAUAAUAUAUGUCAACAGCUUGGAGUUGUAGCUACUACAGACCAUGGUACCUAUCUUGGAUUACCAUCUUAUGUUGGGCGCAAGAAGAUAGACAUUUUCCGAUAUAUAAAGGAUAAAGUUUGGCAGAGAAUUCAAGGGUGGCAUCAGAAACUCCUCUCUAGAGCUGGAAAGGAAAUCUUAAUUAAAACUGUGGCACAGGCCAUACCUAAUUAUGCUAUGGUAGUGGUGGAAUUAGGUGGAUGCAGUAGGGCAGACUUUGUAAGCCCAAAUCUUAUGGUGGUAUUGGGUUUAAACACAUCCACAACUUUAAUGUUGCUAUGCUAGGGAGACAAGGCUGGAGGUUAAUUACAAAUCCAUCUUCGCUGGUGGGCAGAUUGUUUAAAGCACGGUAUUAUCCUAAUGCAGACUUCACUCAAGCAAAGAUGGGAAGUAAUCCGAGUUUUGUAUGGAGAUCGAUUUUGGCUGCUCAGAAGAUUUUAAUCCAAGGGAGUCGUGUCCAAGUUGGAAGUGGACAGAGCAUUACUAUUGGCUCGGUUCCUUGGUUGCCUGAUCAGGAGAGUGGCUUUAUUACAACUAAUCUUCCAGCGACGUUAGCAUCAGCUCCUGUGAGUAGUCUUAUGAUUCCUGAUCACCGAAGGUGGGAUUAUGACCUUGUAAAGGAUGUGUUUAACAGAAGAGAUCGAGACUGCAUUCUCCAAAUUCCUCUUAGCUCUCGGAGGGAUUGUGAUACUUGGUAUUAGUUCCCCGGCGCAAAAGGAGUUUACACUGUUCGGAGUUGUUAUAAGUGGAUGGAUAUUAUAUUGGAACCGCCUGACAGUGGAGUUUGGAAUAAGAUUUGGAAGCUAGCUGUGCCCGCCAAAAUCAAGAAUUUUCUUUGGAGAGCUGUGGCAAAUGUGGUUCCCACUGCUGAUAACCUUCUCAGUCGUCGAGUUGAGGUACACCCUUAUUGUUCUAUCUGUAAUGCAUCUCUUGAGACAAUUUAUCAUGUCUUAGUUGAUUGUCCUUUUGCCAAACAAUGCUGGAUGGUUUCUUUGGUUGGUUUUGCUGGAAAUUUUGUUACUUUUGGAGCUUGGUUGGAUGCUCUAUUUACUCGGUGUAGUAUUGAGGAUAGUUGUCUUGCUGCAAUGGUUUGUUGGGGUCUUUGGCAAAAUCGGAAUACUAAAGUUUGGAGGCAUGUAGUAGGCAGAGUACCUCAAGUGCUCAAUAAAGCUGGUCAAGACUUGUUCCAGUGGCAAAGGGCUCGUCAACUGAGUCACUUUACUCAGAUGCCAGCAGAUUUAACUCUUGGCUCUUUUUGUUGGAAACGCCCUCGCGUUGGAUGGUUUAAAUGCAAUGUGGACGCUGCCACUUCCUGUGCUACUACUAGGAUUAGCUACGGCACAGUUAUCCGGUCUUCUGAGGGUCAAUCUCUUGCUGCAAAAUGUGGAUCUUUGGUUGGCAAUUUUGAAGCCCGUGAGGCAGAGGCUUUGGGUGUGCGGGAGGUCUUGAGUUGGCUUAAGAACACCCAGGUUUUUCCUAUUAUUAUUGAGACUGAUUGUUUACAAGUGUUUAAUGCGUUGAUUGAUUCCAAGGACUAUUAGAAUGGAUUUGGUCUUAUUAUUUCGGAUUGUAGAGCCUUGGCUCAUAGCUUAAAAGAGGUGACUUUCUCUUUUGUAAGGAGAUCUGCGAAUACCGCUGCCCAUGUUGUGGCUAAGGUGGGGUGUUCUUUGUCAGGUCCGGGUGAAUGGAGACAUGUUCCACCACCCUGGUUAUUUUCUCAUUUGUCUGUUUAAUGAAUUUCUUCCUUUCUUAAAAAAAAAAAAGAAAAAAAGAAGGGGUUCCUUUUAAUUUAGAAAUAAGGAUCCUCUUCUCAUAAAUUGAGUUCUCUUAAAUUUUUUAAAAUUUUGUAUCACCUAUCUUUUAAUAAUAUAUUAUUAAAAUUUAAUUAUUUUAUUUUUAAUUUAUUAAUUAUAAAUCACUUAAAUAAAUUUGACUCAGAGCAAAUUCGAUCACGACAAAAUCUUAAAAUGAGAGUAUGCUCUCAUAAAUUCACCUUGACAAGAAAUUUUUUUAAAAAAAAGUGCAUGUCAAAUCAGCAUUAAUUCCACCGUCAGGAAGAACUUUAAGGUUUACGAGAGGGAUACAAAUUGCGACGCCUUCCUGUCCAACUGCUUUGAGAUAUCGUUUAUUUUUUGGAUUGGAUUGAAAAUCUUGAGGAGUGAGAAUCCUAAAAUUGGGAGUGUGAAGUGAGAGUGGGAGUAGGUUGUUUACUUAUACUGGAAUUGAAGCAUAGAAUAGAUAUCAGAAUUCAAUUUAUAUGUUUACUUUGUUUUGGAUUUAGAGUAAAUAGUUUCAAAUUAUAAUUUUAUCAUUAUUUAAAGAAUUAUUGUUUUUAAUUACAAAACUAAUAAAAAAUAUAUUUAAUGAAUAAUAUUUAUUUUAUUAUAUUUGUAAAUUUAUUAUAAUUAUUAAUAUUCUUAAUUAUGAACAAUAAAUUAUUAAUUUUAAUUUUAAUAUAAAAUGAAACCUUAUUUUAUUUUAUUUAAUAUAAUUAUAUUAAAUUUAUUAUUAUAUAAAAUAAUAAUAUAAUAUUAUUUAGUACAAAAUUAAUAUUUUCUUAGAAUAAACUAUUUAUUAUUAUUAAUAUUAAAUAAAUAUAGUACUAUUGUUUUUAAAAUAAAUAUAAUAAUAUUAUAUUUAUUAAUUCUCUAUUAAUAUAAUAAUAUUAUUUUAAAAUAAUUUUAACUUAGAAUCAAUGCAAAUUAUUAUUUAGUUAAAUAUAAUAUUAUUAUUCAAAUAAAUAUAAUAAUAUUAUUCACAUAAAUAUAAUAUUAUUUAUUUUAUUUUAUUAAUUAUAAAAUAUUAAAUUAAUUUAAAAAUAAAAGGGUAAAAAAGAGAGAGGUGGGAGUGGAUUCUCACUCUCACCUCCUCCAAUGGGAGUCCCACUCCCACUCCCCACUCUAAAAAUGGGUGGGAUUCACGGAGUGAAAUUCCCAAUCCCUUCUCAUUUUGAGAAAAUAAAUGCUGGAGUGAGAAGAAUCCACACUCCUCACUCCCACUCCAGCAAGUAAACACAGCAUGAGUUGAGUUAACCAUACAUUAAUGUUGUGUUUACUUGCUGGAGUGGGAGUGAGGAGUGUAGAUUCCUCCCACUCCAGCGUUUACUUACUUAAAAUGGGGAGGGAUUGGGAGUCCCACUCCGUGGGCCCCACUCAUUUUUGGAGUGGGGAGUGGGAGUGGGAAUCCACUCCCACCUCUCCCAUUUCUACCUUUUUUUUUAUUUUAUGUUUUAUAAUUAAUAAAAUAAAAUAAAUAAUAUUAUAUUUAACUAAAUAAUAAUUUACAUUGAUUCUAAGUUAAAAUUAUUUUAAAAUAAUAUUAUUAUAUUAAUAGAGAAUUAAUAAAUAUAAUAUUAUUAUAUUUAUUUUAAAAAUAAUAGUACUAUAUUUAUUUAAUAAUAAUAAUAAAUACUUUAUUCUAAGAAAAUAUUAAUUUUGUACUAAAUAAUAUUAUAUUAUUAUUUUAUAUAAUAAUAAAUUUAAUAUAAUUAUAUUAAAUAAAAUAAAAUAACAUUUCAUUUUAUAUUAAAAUUACAAUUAAUAAUUUAUUGUUCAUAAUUAAGAAUAUUAAUAAUUAUAAUAAAUUUACAAAUAUAAUAAAAUAAAUAUUAUUCAUUAAAUAUAUUUUUUAUUAAUUUUGUAAUUAAAAAUUAUAAUUCUUUAAAUAAGGAUAAAAUUAUAAUUUGAAACUAUUUACUCCCAAUCUAAGACAAAGUAAACACAUAAAUUAGAUUCUGAUCUCCAUUCCAUGCUUCCAUUCCAGUGUAAGUAAACAACUUACUCCCACUUCCACUCCAUACUCCCAAUCCUAGGAUUCUCACUCCCUAAGAUUCCCAAUCCAAUCCAAAAAGUAAACGCUACCUAAAUAGGACAGCGCUUAUGUUACGUUUACUGGAAGAAACAGCCGGACAAUAUGGAUAGUUGGAUUCGUCAUUUCUCAAAUCCAACGGAUGGAAAUAAAUAUAACGUGGAAUGAGUUACAGCUACAAGUGGUCAAAUGAUUAUUAUAAACCAAAAAGGGGCAACCUGCCAAAAUGAUUCUAAAAAAAGGCGGCUAAGGGAGUUAUCAGUAAUGCAAUCAUAGAGGGAAAAGAUAAAUCAGCUGCAUGAGUACGCUACUAUUUUGUCAUUUUUCGUGACCCAUGAGUCCAUUUUUUAUUUUCAUGAUGCAGAAUCAAACUCAUGUUAUGCUGCACAUAUACUAGUAACUCAUCAAUUCCAUCUUUUUCGCUACUUUAUUUCGAUUCACCAUUCAAGUUUUUGAAUAAUUCAUAUAUUAAUGUUGUUUAUCAGGGCCAAAUGAAGUUCUGGUAGCCAUGAAAGUUAGUUCAAUAUUUACAAAGUUAGGCAUUUUCUUUUUAUAUUUAAGCAUUCCCGAUUUUACACUUAUCAUACUAAUGAAAGGUAAAAUAAGAUUUACGCCCACAAGCCCCAGGAUAUACUAAAAUCAUUAUAAAAAAUAUUAAAGUCAUUAUUUUUUCAGCAUUUCCAGAUGUAUAAACUGUGAAAUAUGGAUUAAAUCAACUAUCAAAUUGGCUCUAAAAACUAUCAUAAUAUAAAUAAAUAGUUAAAACAAAUCAACUUAACAUAUAUAAAGUAGUUUUACAUCACUUACUAAGUCACCUAGAUAGUGCUUAAAUUUACACACAUAACAUAAGAAGUUCUAUGAUUUAUAUACAUAUCAAGUUAAACAUACAUAAAGAAAUUUUGCAUACAAAUACAAGUUCUGCGAUUUACACACAUAAAUGUGAAAACAUCAUUUCCCACGCAGCUUGCUUCAAUUCUUAGCAAAGUUCAGAUUUUUUUCUAAUUGCAAAAAAAGUAGCCUACAAUUUACAUCCCACAAGCUUCCUAACUGCUGCAUUGACACAUCUACAAUUUAUAUAAAAAAAAAGUUCCAUUAAAUUGCAUAUCAAGUAGGAUAAUCAGAUAAAAGAUCAAGAAAGAUCAAAUUUACAUUUCUUUUCAAAGCUGUAUGCAACAUUGUAAUAAACAAGUCUCUAUCAAGAUUCAAAAAGCACUAGUAGUUGGGUAAGACGCCUUUCUUUUACCCGGUUCACUGUUUUUAGUUCAUGCAUGUUACUUUCUUCUCAAGUGUCUCAAAUUCAUUUGUCUACAUGAAUUUUUAAUUCCAUCCCUAUAGAUUCUUUUGUGUGUUUUUCAUUUAUAGCAGUCUUUCACAGAAAACCUGGGGACAAUUGUUCAAAUAUGUUAAAUAUAAGGAAAAAAUUAAAAACAAAUACCCGUUCAUCCUCGAAUUGUAACAUACUCAUGCUUUAUGAUGACAAUAACCAUUAUAUACAAUCCUAACUACAUGCUCAUGCCAUAAAAUAGAACAUUCUGUCUAGAGACUUUUGAACUAAAACACCUGCUCAACCAUUCGUCCCACUACAUAAUAUUUUCACUUCAUCGAUAAUAAAUCACAUUGACUAUGUUGAUAAUCAAAUUACAUCCAAAUAGUUGAAAUUGAUGCAUGAAUUUAUAAAUCGACACUACUACAAAAAUGACUUUUACUGACACUUUGUGAAAAGUGUCAGUAAUUUUGUACAUAUGCACCAUUUUCCGCUUUUAACAAAUAUAUAUCAUAAAUUAUUGAUACUGAUGUGUCAGUAAAUUAAACAUCAGUGAUCACUGACGUUGAAGUAUUAAAGAUUAAAAAAAAUCAUUAAAAUUUGCUUUAACUCCAACUCGAACCUAGGACUUUUAAAAUUCAAAGCUUUAAAAUAUGGACAAUACACCAUUGGACCUUGUAGAAUUAAGAUAUAAUAGCAGUAAUAAAUUAAAAAACAAAAUUAAAAUAACAAAAGCAAAAUAUAACCCAGACUUGGAAACUUUAUUUCGUUUAUGGACGCAAAUAUUUGAACCAAACCCUAUCACUAUCUUGCUUUCUCCUUCUCUUUUUCCUUUUUCUCUUCUCGAUCUCUUUUGUUUCCAGUUGUCCAUUUGCAAGCUCAAUUCAAUUAAUUCAGACAAAAAAUGAAAAGCUAAACCCUAAUUGAGGCUUCUCUUUCCUUUUUCCUUUUGUCCCCAAAUCGAAAACAAAGCGAAACCUUUUUUUCCCCAAAUCGAAGAACAAAGCGAAACCUUAAUUGAGGCUUCUCUUUCCUUUUUCUUUUUUUCCCCAAAUCAAAAAACAAAGCGAACCCUAAUUGAGGCUUCUUUCAUCGGAGUUUUUUUAUUUUCCUGCUCAAAUUUCACUUUUUUUUGUUCGCUACUCGAAACCCAUUUGCUUGAAUUUGAGAUAAUUGUUGAGAAGUUAGUUAAUUUGUUUGCUAUAGAAGGUUCGCCUAUGCCUAGAAUUGUAGAGGAGGAUUUCAAGGACUUUAAAGGCAGAGAGGUUUAUUUUAACAAUUGGUAAUGGCUUAAUAUUUUUUUGUCAAUUUAAUUACUGGGUUUGUUUUAUUUUAGCUUAUGAUUAUUUUUUGUAAUUUUAAUUUUCUGGGUUGUUGCCGAUGUUGAGAAAUUCAUGUUUAUUUGGAAGGUCGCACUUUUCUUUAUGUAUUGAUUUAAAUUCUUGUUUAAGUCUUGUGGCUUUGAGGGUUUAAGCGAAACGGGGUUUAUUUUAUAAAUGAGGAUCCUAUGCGGGCUUAUGGAAAUUGGAUGUGUUUUAGAUUAGCUGCCUGAUUAAUAAGUUCUUGUUUUUGUUCUCUGUUGAGCCUUUUUAUUUUGGAGUUUGCAGCAAUUUGUCAUUCCAUAGUAUGAUCGAAGUUUAAUGGGGAGUUUAUUGGUGGAUUGUGUUAGGAGUUGGCCCUUUUUUUUGUUUGAACUUUUUGUGAUCUGUUUUAAGAUUGAGAACAAAAGCUUUGAUCGGUACUUGUGUAAAGUCUUAUCGGGAAAUAAUAAAAAGUGCUUUUUUAUUAUUAUAUAGGGAAAGGAGGAGCUGGUGAAGCACUUUCGGAGUUUUGACUUUCCAUGUGAUGAAUACCUUCCUGUUUGCUUCAGUCCAGCCCGCGAUGGCACAAGAAAGAAUGUGAAACAAAGCACUAUUGGCAAAUGUAGAGGCACUAGCUAGUGUUUGGGAGGCUUCCAAGAAUAUACGUCAUCAAAUCAAACCGUAACUCAGUGUUAAAUUUUUGUGGCUUUGACAUGACACGUGAUGAUGAGGAUGGUGGUACAUGCUUUGGUUUAAUGGCUUGCUUGUUGCUGUCACUUUCAUGGCUUGUGGUGGUGGGUUAGUGUUUGAUGAAACCUCUUUUUAUUUGUUUUAAAAGUUUAGUUAGCGUUAUGGGUUUUCUGCGUGAUCAACUUUGAAGAAGGGGUGGGGGACUGAGGGUGGAUCUUGCCACCUGGACCAUUUGAUGGUUGAGGUUGUGGGUUCCACCUCCAGAUGGAUGGAUGUAUAUAACUGGGGGCCAGUUUCAUUGUAAGCGUUCCCUGAUCUUUUGCUGGAGAACUUCUACAGUUGUGUGCCCGUAGUUCUUUUUAAACUGGUUGUGACUUUUAAUGUUAAUGUUUUAGUGUAGUAGAAUAGCAUGCACGUCUAGCAGGCUACCUGCUAAUGUUGUGUUUUGUGCCAUUUGCUAAUUGAUUUGGGUAAACUUCUGAAGCUUAUUAGUUUGAUGUAUUUUUCAUUUCACGUCUCAAUUUGUAUGUCUUGCAUUGUUGGUUUGUUUUGGAAUAAAAGAAUGGGGAAUUGGGACAUUCCAUGAUAAUGAGCAUGGGAUGCUCUGUAUAUGUAAAGCAAGGCAAUAGUUUCUCCAGCAGCUGAUUGGUCUCCACUGUGAACAUGUUAUUUCACAUUUAUAUUUUAUAUAUGAAAGCUGUAUGAAGUACUUCAAACUGACUGGUGUACUUCAAAUUUUUAAGUUUAUCCAUCAAUUGUUCUAAUACCGAAUUAUGAACUUUUUAAAACCCCAUCAUGGCUUUUAUUAUUAUUUUGGAUACUGUUGUACCUAUGUACUUCAGUGCAGGUGGGCUCCUGGCUAGAGAAAAUCACAAGCUUUGGUGUUCAUGACUGUCAGGUUCUUAUGGUUAUUAUAGUGGCAAGAAGCAUAUGGUUAGUUCAGUCUACUUACUAAAAUAAUUAACUUUUUGUUUAGUUAUUUUAAUUUCAUAUCCAUGCUUGCUGUUGGUGAUCUCUGUAUGUCUGCUAUGUUUUGAUGGUCUUUUAUUUUUUUACAAUAAUUAUGCCUAAUUUUCUUUACUUGAUCUUAAUUCCCAGUCCCAUCACUAUGGUCUAAUUUUGACUUUUUCCUCUCUCCUUCCGAAUCUAAAGUGACCUCUUCAAUAACUAUGAGAUGGUAGUUGUAACAAGUAUAAUCACAAGAAACUGUAAAAAAUAAGCCCAGGGCGGUGGGAGCUAGUUGACCUCUGUUAAUGCUCCUUGAUUUUAUUUUGUUGGGUUGGACUUGGAUAAUAUUUAAUGAUUAAAUGUUAUAUUUUGUUUUGCCAACUACAGCUUAUUAAUUAAGUGAUGAACAUUUUUUAAUUAAGUGGUAGCUAGAUUUUUAUUUUUUAUUUUUUUAUUUUGGUUUCUCUAGAUUAAUUAAGUGAUGAACAUUUGAUUGGGCAGAACCAGCUUCCGGAUGAUCAUGUAAUAUGCGGAAUGCACUACUAGAUUUAUGUGAUUUUCUUUAUACACAGUUUUGAAAUUUACAUUUCUUUGUUUAAGAUUGCCACAGUUUCUUAUAAAUGUCUCUCUAAUUUAUAGGUGGAGCAUCAGUUGCUGGUCAACUAGAGGACAUUCCAACAAUUUAAGAUUGAUCAGGAUUACUUGUAAGUUGAAUGCUUUCAAAUUAAUACAUAUGUUCAUUGUUAAUUUAUAAGGUUUUCAUUAGAUAAGCAUGCCAUGUAAUUUUUGAAAACAAAAAUUCUUUCAAAUUAAUAUUAGUGCACUGGAAAAAUUAUUGCACUUUAUAUAUUGUUUCCAAAUUCCAAGACUUAUUUUUUGAGGUGUACUAAUUGAUUUUAUGUACUUGUAGGUGGGAAAAAAAUGAAGCCAUGUGUGGAUAUUCAGUGACAUUCUUAUGCUUAAUUUUGUAGGUUAAUGUUUGAUGAAACUUAAUUUUGUAUUCUGUUGUUUAGAACUAGUCGAAACUCAAUUUGGUACUUAUAUUUUUCUUUUCCAAACAAUGAUGUAGUUAAAUUAUAUUAAUGUAAGUGAUGUAUUGGGAUGUUUAUUAUAUGAAUUGUGUUGUGAGAUUUGGUAUAUUUAAUAUAUUUUGAGUUUUAUUUUGAUUGUAAAACAAGCAGGAAAAUAAAAAUAAAAAUAAAAAUAUACUAUUAACCAAAAGUAGCAUAAUAUCAUUAAAUAUUAACACUAAAUAUUUAAAAUGACAAUAAUAACUUUUGAUGUUAUUGAAUCAGUGUGCUCUUGAUACUAUAGUCACAUAAAUCACUGACGUAUAAAUAAUAUCAUCAAAUACUAACAUCAUCGUGUCAUUAUUUAGGUGAUACUAUAAUGACACUAAUUACUGACACAAUAAUCACUGACACUAAAAAUUAGUGUCAGUGUGUUCUGGCUUGAGCAUCAUUGACACAAUUAAUAAGUGUCAAGAAAAGUAAUUACUGACACUAAAUUAGUAUCAGUAAAGCCCAUUUUUCUAGUAGUGCGAUUAACCUUUUCAAUAUUAGACAACAAUAAUUUGUCAAUGCCAUUCAGACGAUUUAUCGAACACUUGAUGCUAGGGGUGGGCAAACGGUUUGGUUCUAUGAGCAAAAAUCGAAUGGUUCUAAAACUGGCGAACUGACUGGUUUAAACCGAACCGAACUGAAAAACCGAUCAGUUUAGUUUGAUUUGAUUAUAAUAUAUUUAAUUGAAUAUAUAUAAACCAAAAAUAAAUUUCUCUCUCAAAUCCCUAACCCUAGGUAUUUAAGAAUCGAACUGAACUGAGCUGAUUUUAGAAAAAUGAACCGAACCGAAAUAUUUCGGUUCGGUUCGAUUUGGUUUUUAAAUUCGGUUCGAGUUCGGUUCAUACUCUUAGGAACCGAUUGAUUUCGGUUUGGUUCGGUUCGGGACCUGAACCGACUAUUGCCCACCCCUACUUGAUGCAUAUGGCCUAUUUAAGAAUUUGAAGCAAGAUAAAAUAAUGAGAAUACAAAUCAACAAACCAAUCAAUGAUAUUACAAACAUUUCAUUACUAUAAAAAAAAAUCAAAUUAAGAAACAAUUUAUAAAUUUUCAAAACACUUCCAAACCUCUCAAACUGCAACUCCCCCGUCAUUUUUCUAUGUAGUAGUAAUAGACACAACUCUAAAACCAUUUGUUCUUUUUCUUUUUUCAGCCUUUGUUCAAUAAAUUGUCCAUUAUUAUAAAACUGUAUGAAUAUUUUGCUGAUUAUGUUUCAGAGGGGAGAUGUUGCUUCCUUCAAUAAACGGAGCAUGAGAUUAUGGAGUCUAAACUUUUGAAAGCCACACAAAAAUUUUUGAAUUUCAAAUUUUCUUUUUCGUUUUGAAUUUUUCAUUGAUAUGCACCUAAUCUUUAACCAGCUACACUAAGGAAUGAGACAUUGACUUUACCGUUCACGCAUUUUGCAACUGGUUUCCAACUGGCUUGAACAUGUUUUUAAUAUUGUCCCUUACCGCCACGUACUGCUCUUACGUGAGUCAAUUGGUCACGUCAUUGUUGUUACUUACAUCAAAUGUAACAUAAGUUUACCCAUUAAAUAGAGACAAGGGCUGAACAUUUAUAAAGACACUUUAAUUUCAACAUACAUCUUAAUUUAGGAUAUUACGAGGACAACGUGCAACUGGCACACACAUAAGAUCCCGUGCUCUUGGAGAUGAUAAUUGUGGGCGUUCAGACAUAUCAACAACACCAUCGGGACUCGUUACUUUGAAAUUGAAGCACUGAAUCAUAGCUGCUAGAGUUGUCGGCAACUCUUGCAUGGCUAAAGAAAGGCCAGGGCAGCCUCUUCUCCCAAUUCCAAAUGGCAGCAAUUGGUAAUGCAAUCCUCUAACAUCAAUCUCACUAUUUGACUGUGAUAAGAAUCGUUCUGGCUGAAAUUCCAAUGGGUUCUUCCAAAUUUUGGGGUCCCUAUGUUUGAGAAUUAACAAAUAAAACACAUAAAAAACACACUAUUUUAUUUCUUCAACAACGCUCCUCACCAAUUACAACUCUUAUUUUUCACUCUCUACACCUUAGAGAUUUUGUUACUUCACUUGAUGCUUAAACCAAAAGGGAGAGGGGGUAUUUAUACAUGAUACAAACUAAUCACAACCAUUCAUUUAUUCAACUACUACAUAAAUCCUCACCAUUCAUUAAAACCUACCACUCACCUACUUCACCAUUCAUACAUGAUCGGUUGGCUCUUCUUGUGGCAAACCCAACUCCUUCAGCAAAUUUCUGAGCCAAAUUGCAUGACAAACACUUGAUGUGGCAGCUAAAUACUCAGCUUCACAAGUGGAUAGCGUGACAAUAGGUUGCUUCUUUGACAUCCAUGUGAAAGCAGUAUCUCCCAUGAAGAACACAAAUCCUGUGGUGCUUUUUCGAUCAUCUACAUCUCCACCCCAAUCACUAUCGCUAUAUCCAACAAGCUUGUAGUCAUUAGAAAAUGAGUAUAACAAGCUGAAAUUAGUUGUACCUUUGAUGUAGCGAAGGAUUCUUUUUGCAGCUUUAAAAUGGGUGGUCUUUGGAUUCUCCAUGUAUCGACUCACAAGUCCAACAACAUAAAGGAUAUCUAGUCUCGUGCAUGUUAAAUAACCUAGGCUUCCGACCAAACUUUUAAAGAAUGUUGAAUCUAUAUCUUUGCCUUUAUCAUGUUUGGAUAACUUGACUCCGCAUUCCACUAGCGUGCUUAUAGGCUUACAAUAAUUCAUUUUGAACUUCUUGAGAAUCUCCUUUGCAUAGCUUUCUUGGGAGAUAAAUAUGCCUUCUUCCUUUUGUUUGACUUCAAUACUGAGAUAAUAUGCCAUCAGUCUGAUGUCAGUCAUCUCGAACUCUUUAAUCAUCACUCUCUUGAACUCUUCAAACAAGCUUGGAUUACAUCUAGUGAAGAUGAGAUCAUCCACAUAAAGGCACACAAUAAAAAUAUCUUUAUCUUUUUCUUUGACGUAGAGAGCAUGUUCAUAUGGGCAUUUAUUAAAGCCUUUCUCUUGAAAAUACUUGUCAAUUAUGUUAUUCCAUGCCCUUGGUGCUUGUUUUAACCCGUAAAGAGCUUUCUUUAAUCUCAAAACUUUGUCUUCAUAUCCUUUCACCACAUAGCCCAAUGGUUGUUCGAUGUAAACUUCUUCUUCAAGGAAUCUAUUCAAGAAAGCAAACUUAACAUCCAUUUGAAAAAUCUUCCAUUUGUUCUGAGCAGCCAAAGAAAUAAUAAGUAUAAUAGUUUCAAGUCGAGCUACAAGAGCAAAUACCUCGUCGUAGUCUAUGCCAGUCUUUUGACUAUAGCCUUUUGCAACUAGCUUCGCCUUGUGCCUUUUAAUUUCUCCCUUCGCAUUUCUUUUUGUUUUGUACACCCAUUUGACACCGAUCGCCUUAUGCCCUUUGGGAAGAGUAGUAAAGCUCCCAAGUAUCAUUCUUCACAAUGGCUUUGAUUUCUUCAUCCAUUGCAAUUCUCUACUUCUCAUCUAGUGCAGCUUCUUGGAAGUUGAGAGGCAAAAGAGAGUGAGAUUAUCAUGUCUCUCAGUUACCUCAUAGAGAUCUUGAAGACUCCUUGUACGUUCUUCGGUUCUUACAUUUAAGAAAGAUGGCGGUGAAUCUCCACAUGUGGUUGAUACUGGUGAGAUAGGUGGAGUAGCUAGCUCUUGUUGUUCUUUUACUCGUUUUAUCUGAGUAUGAUCAUCUUCUUCGAUGGGAAAGAAGUUGAAGUCAUCCACACUAGAGCCAAAAUCUCAUUCUUCUUCUUUAUCAAAAACUACAUCUCGACUGAUCACGAUUUUUCCGUUGUUUGGAUUAUAAAGCUUGUAUCCUUGGAGUUGUUGUCAUAGCCGAUGAAGAUGAACUUCUCACUUUUGUCAUCCAGCUUGGCUCUGCUUUCGUCUGGUACAUGUACAUGGGCAAUACUUCUGAAAACUCUUAGAUGGGUGAUGCCGGGCUUUCUUCCACUCCGAGCUUCUUGUGGUGUCUUGCCCCACACACUUCUUGUUGGAGAUCAAUUGGAUAAGUAGACUGCACAUGCAACAGCUUCAGCCCAAAAUUCUUUAGGUAGCCUCUUACUCUUGAGCACACUUCUUGCCAUGUUGAGGAUGGUUCUGUUCUUCCUUUCUGCAACACCAUUUUGUUGAGGGGAUCUUGGAACUAUCAAAGGUCAUCGAAUUCCAUUUGCUUCACAAAACUCUAAAAAUCCUUUAGAAGUGAACUCUCCACCUCGAUCAGAUCUAAUGGCUUUAAUUUUGUAUCCACUUUCUUUUUCCAAUGCAGGUUUAAACUUCUUGAAAGCUUCAAAGACUUCUGAUUUCUACUUCAAAAAAUACACCCAAGCUUUUCUUGAAAAAUCAUCUAUGAAGAGAAGAAAGUAGUUACUCUUACUAAUGGAGUUUGGCUUGAAUGGACCGCACACAUCAGUAUGAAUGAGCUCGAGUGGCUUCUGAGCUCUUGAGUUUAACUCCUUUGGAAAGCUCUUUCUAAACUGCUUGCCAAGUAAACAUCCUUCACAAAGUUGAUCAGGGUGAUUGAUGUAUGGUAAGCCUUUCACCAUGUUCUUCUUGAAUAGUAGCUCCAAUCCUCCAAAGUUGAGAUGCCCAUAUCGAAGAUGCCAAGUCCAUGAUGGAUUUUUGUGACAAGAUUUGAGAUAUUUUGCAACAUCAUUUUGAAUAUUUAAAGGAAACAUUCUAUUCUUCGACAUUUUCACCUUUGUAAUUAGAUUUUCUUUGUCAUCUCUUAGGAAAAGACUACAAUCUUUUAAGUGAAUAUCAUAGUCUUUUUCUAAAAGUUGACCCAAACUAAGGAUGUUGCUUUUCAUAUUCGGCACAUAGUAAACAUUCAAAAUUAUUUGGUGGCUACCAUCUUUUGCACUAAAAAGAAUGUUACCUCCACCCUACACUGGUACUUUUGAAUCAUCUCCAAAAGCGACACUCCCAUUCACAGAUUCACUUAGUUGCACGAACAUGCUUUUUUUUUCACUCAUAUGAUUGCUAGCACUUGUGUCAAAAUACCAUGUAUUUUCUUGACCUCCACUUGUGUCAUUGCGUGCUAGUAAAAGUGUGUCAUCUUCACUAUUUUUCUCUUCAACAUAAUUCACUCUUUCCUCAAUUCUGGUGCUUGGAGCUCUGUAUUCUGAAGCUCCAAAAGAAUGUUACCUCUACCCUACACUGGUACUUUUGAAUCAUCUCCAAAAGUGACACUCUCAUUCACAGAUUCACUUAGUUGCACGAACAUGCUUUUUUUUUCACUCAUAUGAUUGCUAGCACCUGUGUCAAGAUACCAUGUAUUUUCUUGACCUCCACUUGUGUCAUUGCGUGCUAGUAAAAGUGUGUCAUCUUCACCAUUUUUCUCUUCAACAUAAUUUACUCUUUCCUCAAUUCUGGUGCUUGGAGCUCUGUAUUCUGAAGCAUAAUGCCCAAACUUUUGACAAUUAUAGCACUGUACUUGAGAUUUGUCAUACCUCAAUCUUGGAUCACCUCUGCCUCGUCCUCUAGUUGAGCUUUCUCCUUUGGCAUAAUUGGAGUUGUUGUUGUUGAAAUUCCAACCUCAUCCAUGACCACGACCUCUAUAUCGUCCUCGUCCUCUACCUCGGACAUAGUGCCUUCUCUCGUUGUCUGAGCUUUCUUCUCUUUUCUUUGGAUUGACCUCUAUCUUGAGAAGUUGUUCUUCGAUUCCUUGCUUCUUUUUUAGUUUUUCUUCGUAGGCUUGCAACCUUCCUUGAAGUUGCUUGAUCGUCAUAUCCUCCAGAUCUCUUGUUUCCUCAAUUGUCACAACAAUAUGGUCAAACUUCGAGUCUACUGAUCGAAGUAUCUUUUCAAUAAUCCUUACCUCUUUUAACUCUUUGCCAUUUCUUUUUAAUUCAUUAAAAACUGUCACAACCCGAGUAAAGUAGUCAGAAAUUAACUCCGACGUCUUCAUGUGUAAGGACUCAAAUUCUCCUAGUAAUGUUUGGUGACGAACCUUUUUAACUUGCUCCGCUCAUUUGUAAGAGGUCUCUAGUUUCUCACAUGCUUCUUUUGAGGAGGUUAUAUCAGCAAUCUUUUCAAAAACAUCUUCAUCUAAUGAUUGAAAGAUGAGAUGCUUUGCUUUAUUCUCUUUCUUCUUCAAGUCUUUUAAAUUCUCCUUCUGCGCUGCAGUUAAAGUGGAUUCAUUUUCCGGUACAAUAAAGCAUUUCUCCAUGACAUCCCAUACGUCAUGUGCACCCAAUAGAGCCUUCAUUUUAAUACUCCAGUUGUCAAAUUUACUUCCCUUUAAUUGUGGAACUUGAAAUGACAUCAUACCACCGUUUGCCAUAACUUACAAAUUGAGUGAGAAUUUGGAGAUUCUGAAUGCACAGAUGAAUCUGGCACGUCGAAAAACCUUGGGAAGGACUCGAGUCAACUUUCAGUCAACGGUCAACGUCGGCUUAGUAGUCUUGGUUCGGUCUGGUUUGGUUCAGCUGGAGUUGGCACGGUUCGACUUGAUUCGGUUCAGCUCGGCUCGGCUUGGUUCGGUUCGGCUCAGCUCAGCUUGGUUCAACUCGGUGAGUCAACUCAGCUCUGGACAGAAAACUGCCGGCAGCGAGUGUGGGCGCGUCCAGUCUCCAAUCGGGAUGAUUUUUGCAGUGUCAUGUUCCUAUCGUCGAGAGCUUCGAUUUGAUAUUCUAUAUGAUUAUAUAUAGCAUCGAACACUAGCUCUAAUACCACUUUAUUUGAGAAUUACCAAAUAAAACACACAAAAAACACACUAUUUUAUUUCUUCAACAACACUCCUCACCAAUUACAACUCUUAUUUUUCACUCUCUACACCUUAGAGAUUUUGUUACUUCACUUGAUGCUUAAACCAAAGGGGGGAGGGGUAUUUAUACAUGAUACAAACUAAUCACAACCAUUUAUUUAUUCAAGUACUACAUAAAUCCUCACCAUUCAUUAAAACCUAUCACUCACCUACUUUACCAACCACACCUACCACAAGUAAUUCAAAUCUCACCAACCAUACCUACUCAUGGAAUUUUCCAUGAGUUGGGCUUGAAUUUAUUCAUCUUGGAUCAAGUUUAUGAUCCAACACCCUACCCAUAGACCAAAGGUUCACAAACAACAGAGUGCCUUUAGGACUUAUGUAGUUGCCAAUUUUACAGUCUUCUAGUGCUC